UUUUUUUUUUUUUUUUUUUUUUUUUGCCUACACAAAUAUAACAUACAAGUAUUACCCCAUUGUGUAAGUGUUUAUUCAUUUUGUUAUUUAAUCCCAUUUUUUAAGAAAUUGAUACUUGGUCCCCUAGCUGUUUAGGCUUACACAUUAGACAAACUAUUGAUUUUUCUUUUUUCUCGUAAAGUCUUUCCUAUUUUUAUCAUUACUAUAUAAAAAGUAUGAUAAGUUUUGGCAAUAGAGAGUAUAGGAGUGUAAGCAUAUUUCUAUCUCAGUUUUUGUUAUACCUAAAUUAUGCUCAUUUUUUAAAAUUAGAGUUAUUGCAUUUCAAUCAUGACACUAAUAAGAAAAAUGAAAUGUUUCAAUAAAUUACAUCUAAAAAAUGUUGGUUAUUGAAAUUAAAAACUGCUCAUUUACAACUAUAUUCAUCAAUCGUUUCCCUUAUCUCCAAUUAUUGGAUGUGUUAAAAUUUUCUCCAAUUAUUAUAUUGUUAUGUGUGAUAAUUAAAGUUAACUGCAUUUUAUAUGCAUAUUGUUUUAGAAAAAAAAAAUCAUGAUUAAUAAGAAGACAAAAAGUUAUAAAUAGUUCAUAAGAAAAAAAAAGCUUAAAUUGAUGAUUAAAUUCACUAUAUUAUGUCAUAUUGUUUAAGAAAACUCCAAAAAAAUAUCGAUGAUAUCGAUAAUUAUAAAAAAUAUAACAAAAAAGGUUUACAACUAUUGAAAUUGAUAAAAAUUUGUCAUAUCCAAAUUAGAAUGUUUUAAUGUGUGUUUUGCUUAGAUUUUGUUGUGUGCACUCGUUUGACACAACAAUUAUUUUAUGACUUGAUUUUGAGUUUUUUCACCGUUUUAAUACUUGCAAAACACGUGUAAGUGACUGGCGACAACGUUAGACAUCUGUCUUUUCUAUAUCAUUGGAACCUAUAAAUGCUGUAUAACAAAAUUCUUUAAAGAUUCUUUCUGUAGUUUGAUCAAAAGCGUUUAGAUUGUCUAUGUAUGAAUACAAAUGAAUAGAAACAAACAUUGCAACCAAAAGACUUUUUAGAGAAUCUUUUAUUCGCAAGCUUCAUAUCACUUGCAAACAGUGGUGAUAGCAAGGGGGGUCAAUUGACUCCACUUCACUUUGGGAAAAUUAGUUUUUAGGUUUAGGAAAUUUAGAAAAUUUUAAAGUUGUAUAUUAGUUGACCCCACUAAAUUGUACUAAAUUCUCUUACUCUCACCAAUAUUAUAAAAUGAAAAUAUGAAAGUUAUGGAAAUGCUAUUAGCUUGAAAGUUACACAUUAUUGUGAACCACUAAUUUUUAUAUGCAUAUUGCUUCUAUUUUCUCAACGCUAGUUUUGUAGGUAUAUAUCUCCACCCCCAAUUUUUUAGCACACAAAUCUUUAAAAUCUCAAGUGAUAGAAAGUGAUGAUUAAGAGAAUUUUAUGUGUCUGUAACAUUCAAAGUUAUGUUUAGCACAAGAAUUCAUAUUAAAACAAUCAAUGAUUUGACUAAAAAUUUACUAUAGUUUAGCAAAUCUUAUCUUACUAUAGAAAAAGUAGGAGUUUACUUAUCUAAAGGUGUAUGGUCCUCUAUGCAUUAUGGGGGUAUUGUGUUAUCUUAGGGGCAAAAUAAUCUUUUCACUUGAGCCUCGUCGAAAAAAUUAUACAUGUCUCCGCCUACUGUCUCUCUUCUCUCACUUUUUUUGGCUAUGUUCAAGAAAUCUUCCUCACAAUUUUCCUAGGUUUUGCAUAGAAGAGCUUACUGCCAUAUUUUGGUGGUGUAUUUGAUUUACGCGAUUUGUAUGUUGUAAAGCACUAAAUCGUUUGUGAAUUACCCAAAUAACUUAGUGUAUGUUUAUUUUGGAUGGUUUAUUAACUUUAGUGUAUGUUUUGAACUUGUAUAAAUUUGUUGGACACAGUUAAAAACGAAGCAAUUAUAUAUCACUGUCAUCUCGUUUUACAAUUGACCAGAUAUAGCUAUCUAAUCCUUCAUCUCUUACAUGUCAAUUGACCACCCUGUUUUAUGUCAAUUAACUCGCAAAACAAAACUAUCCCUCUAUUAUGCUGACUUUUUUUUUUCUUUUUCAUCGUUUUCCUAUCUUCUUUUAAAUUAGUUUUCUUUUGUCAAAUUUUUAUUUUUGAGUAAAUAAAAAAUUAAUCUAUCCACCAAUUAAACAUUUUAAAAUUUUUAUUCAUCAAAGAGUUAAAUUUUUAGUGAAAUUAUAUUCUACUAUUAUUUCCUUCUAUGUAUAGAUCUUAUGUUAAUUUGUCUCUCUUUUAUGUGUUAUAAUUCAUUCUCACAUAAAAUGUAGGAUGUCCAUUCUCUAGCUUAAAAAAUUGGAAAAACAAUAUAUAAGUGUUUGUUGUAAUUAGUUAAUUAUAAAUCAAUUUCAUCCAUUAUCCACAUUAAGAAAUUAAGAAAAAUUUGACAUUGUGUAGGUUUUCAAGUUAAAAAUUCCUAAUUAUCUAAUCAAUUAAGUCCGAGUAUUUCAAUUUUUCACAAGUAUAUGUGUCAAAUAUGUAUAAUGAUAAUUUUAGUUGAUCCUACAGGAUAUAGGGUAAUUGCUAUGGAUUUUUAACUUGCACUAUUACCUUUUUUUUUAAUUUUAAAGGUCUGAUUUUAUUGCUUUAAGCAAAAAGCCAGUGCUGGAGGGAGGCAUAGACCGUACCUCCCAAGAGGACGCUGCAUGUAUCAAAACUAGGGUAGACCUAGCAUUUUCAAAGGGAAAGGAGCCCAAGCCUGUCUAACCUAAAUGCCCCUCAGGCUUGAGUAGGGAGCUCCGAAAGAUGAUGAUAGGUUCUGUCAUAGCCUUCGUCACAGCCAAUAUUAGAUAAGCUAUCAGCCACUUGAUUACCCUCUCGGAAGCAAUGAGAGAUGCUAGUGACAUGGGGCAGCAGCUGAAGGAGCGACUGGACUUCCAUAUCAAUACUCCACGGGCAUCGAAUUGCUUGCUGCACUAUCUGAACGAGUACCAGAGAGUCCACCUCCACGUGCACUCCCACAUAGCCACAAGAGAUGCACAAGUUAACCCCAAAGAGAAGAGCCCUUGCCUCAGCCUGGAUGCUAGUGCAGCUCCCAACAAAUGUGGAAAAAGCGAGCAGGAGCUUACCCUCGCCAUCACGUAAAACACCACCACCUCCCGGCCGUCCCGGAUUGCCCCUGGAACUGCCAUCCGUGUUGAGUUUAAGCUCCCCCAUUAUAGGCCUCAACCACUAUUACCUAAACAAUCAAGAAUUUAAGUAAAAGUAAUGCUAGCAAAAUGGCAAGGUUCAAAUUAGUAGAAGGAAUUUCCUUGGAUUUUUGAAUCCCUUGUUGCUCAAGAUAAGAAAUUAACUUGGUUGAUUUAGGCUGUUAAUGUGUAACACAUCAAAGAUAUACUGCCAAUUUUAUUCAAAUAAUGCUUUCGCCAUUACCCAAACAUACUCAUAGCAAGUUUAUGAUGAGUUAACUUGAUACAAGUUCAUUAAGAUAUAUGAAGUAGUAAAAUCAAAUCUACCUAAAUACAUUUCCUACUUUCAUGAAUAUGAUUUUUAGGGUUUGAGAAUCUUGGUCUACACUUGUAUGGCAACAUUUAAUGUACAAUAAAUGAUUGGAUAAUUCAUAGUUGGUGAUCAAACAACUACAAUAUAAAGUGUGUGUGUGUGUGUGUAUGAACUAACAAGUUUCAUGAAAUAACCAAGAUCAACACAAGUUAGCACAUAUAUAAAAACUACAAGUUCACCUUUACCCUAAGAGCAAAUAGUUUAGGUAGACAUGAAAUCUAACAUGAAUAAGCUCAUGACACAUUUGCAAUAGAGCAUGAAUAAACACAAGGAGAUAGGAAGUAAAAUUUGAAGAAAUCUUAUUCCUAUGGAUGAAUCAAGCUUCUCAAACUCCACUUUUACAAUUGUUUACUUCUAGUUCUUAAAACAAUAGUGUUUCCUCCUAACUAAAAAUACCUCACCUUUUGCUUUCUACCACUACUUCUACUAACUAAAGCUCUCUUCUCUCUAACUCUUUUAAUCUUGAAAUACAAUGUGUAUAUAUAUAGAAGUUAGAAUGAACGAAAGUUUUCAAUGAAAUAACAUAAAGCUUCUUCACAAACUUUUAGGGUUUCUUGGGCAAUUACAAUUGAAAUUUCAGCUGAGAAAUGAGUUGUAAAAGUUCUGAAAAAAUAAAGUAAGUAGCUAUGCAAGUUGCACACCCACCUUAAGAAUAUGUGGGGUCAAUAUGCGUGGGUGGGUUGCAUAUUACAUAUCCUCGUGUUUUUGCUUCUCCUAUAUCUUCUUUGUCUUUUUCUGCUCAGCACAAUACCGAGGGGAAGGGGGUGAAUACUCGCAUUUUGGUUGGCAUUUUCUACCCAAAAUGCUGAUCUUGUUUGUUUUGUUAUUUCCAAAGCAUCUUCAAAUCGUGUCUAAUGUUAUUGCAUGAAUUCCACUUGAUCCAAAGUAACCAUGAAUUACCAAAUCCUACAAAUGUAAAAAGUUUUGCACAUUAAACUGCUUAAAUGCAAGUUUUGGUUAUAAAAUGGAACUUAUGUAAAAAUAGUAUCUUAAAAGAGCAAUUUUCAUCCUUAAACCUUAAAAACAUUCCAAAACUAAAUAAACACAUUUAGGAACAUGUAAAUAAAAUACUUAUCAAAAUUUAUUAUUUACUUUCAUUAUAAUUAGACAAUUCAAAAUCAAACACUCAUUUUUUACAAUCACAUUCACGUGCUCAUUAUUUGGCCAUCCUUUUCUUCUUUUUCCUCUAAUGGAUUUUUCUUACUAGGAUCUUUUCUCUACCUUUUUUUCAAAAAAUUGAUCUUUUUUAAUUUUUUUUAAUAGGGAAAGGAUAGGAUUUAAGAAGUGGGAGCGAAGAAGGAUAUUUAAAUAGUAAAAUAUCCCAAAAAAUUGAACUGCAAAGAACUGUAUAUAUGUAUAUAUUUUUAUGAACCGGGUUAUUUUAUUUGAUAACAAUUAAGGAGGGCAUACAUGGAAAUCAAAGCCAAAACUAGCGCUAUCUUAACCUACGCCCUAACUCUACGUAAACUUGGAACAUCCAUCUGAUCAAGAGCGACGUCACCUCUCACCAAGCGAGGCAAAUCACGCAACGAGCCAUAUGUUAGAGUUUUUUCCUGAGUCCGUACCAAUGUUGGCAAGGCGGUCAGCCGGUUUAUUUGCUUCACGAAAGCAGUGUGAUACCUUUCUAACAAACCUACUGACUUUUAACAUGUCCUGUAAGUCCCCUUGCAAACGCCAUGGCCAUCGAGUCUUCCCUAAAAUGAUCUGAACCAGAACUAAAGAGUCAGAUUCUAAGUGUAAAUCGGAAUACCCACGCGCAAUAGCUAGCCUAACACCAAAAAGCAACGCCUUCAAUUCAGCCUGCAAACUUGUCAUCUCCUCAAAGAAGCACGAAUACCCCAAAAGAAACCUUUCUUCCGAACACCGAAACACCCCCCACCUCCACUCACUCAUGGAUUUCCCCAAGAGCAGCCAUCUGAGUUCAGCUUGACCACCGAGUGAUCUAGGCAGCUCCACCAAACCACCAAGGUACUAGAAAUCCCGUGCAAACCAGCCACUAUACCGUAAAAACCUGGCCAAUCCUGACCAGAGGUUCUGAAGCCCUGAAACUUAAGGAGGAAAAUGCCCCCGAGAUCCCCAAAAAUUGCUGCACAAACCUAAGCCACGGGCCGCAGAUGGCCAUCAAAUACAAACGAGUUCCGCAUCUUCCACAAAUUCCAACAAAUUAAAGACGGCAAUAAACAGAGUAGAUACUGAAAAUAUCGGUUCCGAGUAGGCAUCAACCACUAGCUAACCAACUUGUGGCGUAGCAUAGAGGAAUCCCGAAACCCUCCAAUCACCCCUUCGAAAUAUCCCCAAAUCCUCUUUGCCGCCACCCUGGUACAGAAAAUGUGAUCAGUAGACUCUUGACAUGGAUGUAGACAACAAAAACAACGAGAGGGACUGAAUAUACCAAGUUUAUGCAACCUGUCCAUCACCGGCAAUUGGGAUCCUAUCAACCUUAACAUGAAAAAAGAAAUCUUUAUCGGCAGCCCUUGAAGCCAGGGUCGUGAGUAGAGCCAAGAGUUGUUGCCACCCUCUCGAGCGAUCCGGUAGGCUGAUGCUAACAAGAAGGCACCGGAGGUACUAGGAGCCAAACCAUGGUAUCCGCUUGGUCCAGCUAAGGAGGCACAACUCCCAUAAUCCUCCCCACCCAUCCUCCAGGUGCUACCUCGCUCAACCACUAUACAUUCCAGCGACCCUGUUCAACAAAAUCGGAAACGUUACACUCCUGAAAAGUAUCUACAUGACGACAUAAUGGACCCGUCCCCAACCAAUUGUCAUGCCAGAAGCUAACACCACCCUUAGCCAAAACCCAGUGGAUGUGUUGCUCCACUACACCCUGGAUAGCCACCAUUCUUUUCCAAGUCCAAGAAUCCUCGGGAGAAGUAUCAGCAAAGCAAGGAUGAUGGUUGGAGCAAUAUUUAAGGUUCAUGAACUCAGCCCACAACAAUUGCCGCAACCGGAAGUGCCACCAUAGUCUCAUGGAGAAGGCAUCAAACACGUGCUUUAGGGAUCUCAAACCAGCACCCCCCUGUCAUAUGAGUUGCACAACUGGUCCCACUUGAUCUAGUGGAAGCGUGGCCCAGCCUCUGAGGAGCUCCAUAGAAAAUCAGCAAAAAUGCUCUCCAUCAAACUGAAUAUCGACUUAGGAGAGGUUGAUGCAGCGAAUAUGUGAAUAGGCAUAGAGGAGAGCACACUCUUGAUUAGAAUUAAUUUACCACCAUGCGAGAGUAGCCUCCCUUUCCAUGACAACACUUUACUCGUGACUGAUUUACAAACCCUUGCAAAGUAGCAUCUCUUUCGCCGCCCUGCAUAUAGAGGACAACCCAAAUAUUUAACCGGAAACUCCUUCGACUGAAAACCAGUCAUCUCCGCAAUCAACCGUUUCCUACUCCCGGGAAAAUUGACAUGAGUCAAGACACAACUCUUUUGCUGGUUCACCUUUUGAUGAAAGAAUUGUAUAUGUAUUAUCUUCACGAUUCAGCAGGGGUGGUGAGCAUCAUUAACUGAGUGUAUGUAACUCAAAUCAAGUUUCUCAUAUUUUUUUCUUGUACUUAAUAAGUUGAACGCAUUUAUAUUAGGAAUGAUGAAUGUGAGGCCCUUAAAUUGGAGACCACGUUUUACAGUCAUUGAACGAAAUUUAAGAAUGUAUCCUAGGUUUUAAGAGCACGAAAUUCUAUUUUUAAUGUUCCAAAGGAAUGUUGAAUUAACGAUGUAUCUCCAAAUUCUCUACUUAUCCUUUUAGCGGUUGUUGGAAUUUUAGCGUAACUUAAUUAAUUUUUUUGGAUAUUCAAUUAUACCCUUAUUAAUUGACUAUCGAAGUUUCAUAUUAUACUCUCUUUAAUUUUUUAUGAUGAUUGUUGUCAUCUUAGUUUUAUUAAUCUAAUUAUGCACUUAUUAAAUUGAUGAUUGAUGUUUCAUAUUUUGCUCUUUUUAGUUUUUAAUUUAUUAUGAUGAUUAAAAUUCAUUACAUCAUAACUAUUGAUUUAAAGGAAAAUAAUUGUUGAUGACAAGAUAAAAUGUUAAGAGACACUAAGCAGUAUCUGGUCUUUGUUUUCUAUUGGUCCAAAAUACCAUUCUUCCUAAUAAUUAGAUUUAUUGCAUUUCAAUAAUAGUAAUUACUGUAGUAGUAAUGAAAAAACUAUAACCUUAAUUAAAUUUGAAUUAUGAAGAUAAUAAACAAAAUAUAAUACUCCAAAUCAAUGUGUCUUUUUGCAUUCUAUUUUCAGUUUUUAUUUUCGUUAAAAAUUCUGGAUUAGUCAUAGCUUAAUUAAAUUUUUAAAUCUUCAAAAAUAUAUCAAAAGAAGGUGUUCUUAGGAUAAUAGAAUCUUUGUCAUUUAUGCUUUAUGCUAGAUUUUGUCCAAAAAAUUAGAAGAUGAAAAAAAUAAAAGAAACACAAUAAAAUUUCAGCUCCCAAAAAAUGAAUAGUUAGACAGAAAAAAUUGAUAUGUGGUGGAUGAUUUAAGCUCCAUUGUUAAUAGAAAUAGCAUACAAAAUAUACAAAGAGUUCUCAUUUUUUCCAAAAAUGGUGCAUAUAACUUCAUAUUGAGGAAGCAUUACUAUAUAAAAAGUAGUAUGAGUUUUGGUACUUUAGAAUGUAAAUGUAUGCAUUAUUGUGAUCUUAAUUUUUGUUAUUUCAAUUAUGCCCUUAUUAAUUGAUGAUUGAAGUUUCAUAUUAUGCUCUUUUAAAUUUAUUGUGAUGAUUAAAAUUCAUUAUAUAAUAUCUAUUGAUUUAGGAGAAAAUAAUGGUUCAUUAUUAUUAUUAUUACUAUAUAAAAAGUAACAUGAAUUUGGCACUUUGGAGUGUAAGUGUAAGCAUUAUUGUGAUCUUAGCUUUUAUUAAUCCAAUUAUGCCCUUAUAAAUUAAUGAUUGAAAUUUUAUAAUAUGCACAUUUUAGUUUUUAAUUUAUUAUGAUGAUUAAAAUUCAUUAUGCCAUAGCUGUUGAUUGAAGGCAAAAUAAUAGUUGAUGACAAGAUAAAAUGUUAAGCAUUAGAGACUAAAUAGGAUCUGGUUAAACUCUGUCAAAAUUUUCUAAAAAUAAAAUAAAAUAAGAUUUUGUUUAAAAAAAAAAAGGAUCUGGUCUUUAUUUUCUACUUGCCCAAAAUGCCUUUCUUCCUCAUAAUUUGAUUUAUUGCAUUUCAAUAAUAGCAAUAACUAUAGCAGUUUCAAAAAAAGAUUGUAACCUUAAUUAAAUUUGAAUUAUUAAGAUAAUAAACAAAAUAUACACUCCAAACUAAUGUGUCGCUUUGCAUUCUAUUUUCACUUUUUCAUUUCCAUUAUAAAUUCUUAAUUAGUCACAGCCUAGUUAAAUUUUCAAAUCUUCAAAAAUAUUACUAUUGAUUUCUUAAAAUAACAGAAUCUUUGUCGGUUGUGCUUUAUGUUGGAUUCUAUCCAAAAAAAUUCAAAAAGAAAAGAAAAGAAAAAGUAAUUAUCUCUACCAAUAAAAUUUUAAUUAUCACGAAAUGAACAAUUAGACAGAAAAAAAUUAUAUGUGGUGGAACAUUUACACUCCAUUGUUAAUAGAAAUAGUACACCAAAUAAUACAAAGAGUUCAAUUUCAAAGAAUACAUAUCUCUUCAAUUUUCAAAAAAUAGUGCAUAUGAUUUCAUAUUGAGGAAUUUCAUCAAGCAAUUGACAAAUUCAACUUAUGUAACAUGAAAAAUAAUAAUCGUAGUGCAUGCAACUGAUAUUUUUGUAAACAAUUAUUCUAUUUUAUUUUAUUUCAUUUCAUUUUUAGCCUCCAAUCCCUCCCUACACUCUUUUUCAUCCCUAAUUGUUAGGUAUAGAAUUCGAAUCCUGAACCUGACAUUAGAGAAAACGCUAAAAACUCUCUUCUGGUCAUUGGGUCAACCUCAAUGGUUGGAAAACAAUUAACAUUUGGUUAGCAUGCAAAUUCAGGUUAUCCUAACUCCAAAUAAAACAUAAAAAACUGUUCCUAUAUCUAAUUAAAAAUAAAAAAAUUUAGUUUUAUUAUCAUAAUUUAUUUGUCUUGGGAAAAAGAAAAACCAAAAGAAAUAAUUAUUAUUAUCAAUAUUGUACAUACCAAUCAAAAUAUUGAUACUUUUGUCAAAUCAUUUCAUAUUUGGUCAAAUCUUUAUUUUCUUAAAUGUUAAUUUUUCAUCUUCUUUACUUAAUUGUCCUUAAAACCGUUAUUUUAAAUUGAAAGAGACCAAAUGUAUCCUCAUAUGUUAAAAUUUCUCUAGAGACUUUAUAUGAUUUGAUACAACAUUUAGUGAACCUUUUUUUCCUUUUAAAAUAAUGGUUUUAAGGACAAUUAAUUAAAGAAGGUGAAAAAUUAAAUAAAAAAGAAAAUAGGGAGAGAGUUGGGUUGGAUGGUAAGAUGAAAGGGAUUAUAAGUAGAAGGUCCUAGAUUCAAAACCUCCUACUUAUUAAAAAAAUAAAAACAAAGUAAAAAGGAAAUAGAAAAAUAUGCAAAUAUUAAAUUUGUUUAAAAAUUUUUCACAAAAAAAAUUUAAUGUAUACAAAAUAUUAUAUUUGAUGAUAUUAUAAUCAUGUAUAAAGCACGUGACACCAGUUACAAUAAAAAAUGGCAAUAUGGUUGUGCCAACCUUUUAACUUAUGAAACCUCACUAAUUAUAUUGAUGAUAAUGAUACCGUAGACGUCUGCCAUCUCUUUAGCUUGUGAAACACAGUGUAAUCGUGCCCUCAAAAUUAUGAAACCUUUCCAUCCAUGGCAGAAAUGCUCCUCAAAAUAAUUCAACUUUAUCGGAAGAAAUUAUGGCACAGUACUUCCCUCCCUAUAAGUUGCAUCGCACUAUAUAUUAUGCCCUCUCUAUGACUUAAGAAAUAUUCCUGUCACUGCUCAUCGUGUAGAUAUGAACAACAUCAAGAAAAUAGAAAUGUGGACGUGAAGGAUUAGCAUUUUUUUUUCAUUUCAAUAAUGACUACUACCUGAUAUUGGUUUUUAAAUGCAUUUGAGCAAAGCUGAACCCAUAUGCAUCAAUGUUUGAAUUAUUUUGUAGGCCCAUCCAUAUGACCUACCUGAGACUAUCUUAUUGACAAAAUUUAGGCACAGAAAAAGGUAGUUGGUAGGGUCAAUUUCAAUUUAAAAAGAUGAGAUUGAGUUUGAAAUACAAACGAAACUUGUAAUAAAUUUGGACGUUAUCACUAUUUUUUACCUACAUUGACUUCUUUUUUUCCUUAGUGCUGCAGUUUUAGUGCUUACAUAAUUACAUGGGCAAACUCCAAUUUACCCCAUGUGGUUUAGUGUUUUUUAUAUAACCCCUUAUAGUUUUAAAAACUAUACAUAACCCUCUUAUGGUUUGGAUUAAAGUGUCAAAGUGACGGAAAUGAUCAUUCAUAAUAGAGUCAUCUAAAAUGUCAAAAAUACCCUUAUGUAAAGUUAAAAAUUAUUUAUUAACCAAGGGGGAUUAUGUAUAUAUUUUGAAAAUCAUAAGGGGGUUAUAUGGUAAAACAUUAAACUAUAAGGGGAUUAUAUGGUAAAACAUAAAAAUUAUACGAGGUUAGUGUGUCAUGUAUUUAUAAGGGUAAUUUUGAUAUUUUCAAAAGUUCCGUUACUUUGACACUUUAAUCUAAAUCAUGAAGGGAUUAUGUAUAGCUUUUGAAACCAUAGGGGGUUAUGUAAAAAACACUAAAUCACAUAGGGGUAAAAUGUAAUUUGCCCUAAUUACAUUGCACUGUGCAAUUAAAACUAACAAUUGUAGGAGCCGCAUUUCCCUCAAGUCUCAAUCAUCCUUGUAACAAUCAUCCCAUAAAAGUCUCAAUCAUCCUUGUAACAAUCAUCCCAUAAAAUUUACCGAUGUGGAUGGGAGAUAUUAACGAAUAGCUGUGCCAAUUGUAUUUGUCUAAUGAAAAUGUGAUUUGCAUAUUUUAAGUGCAUCGUGAUUGUCCAAGAAUACAUCUCCAGUUCUCACCUACAACCUUACAUGUGCAGCACGCCUCCCUAUUUCUCAACAUUGAAUUGUUCAUCCUUUGGAAUCCAGAGAAGAGUUCAUAAAAGAUCCCACUCAGGCUUCUACUCUCUGCUCCCCAAUCUCAAUCUGUCCUUACCAAAUAGUAUUUAUGGAGAAAAUUGAAGUAGUGAUGGUUAUGGCGCCAAUGCUGAGGCACUUAAUACCAGCCAUCGAGCUAGCUAAGAUACUGCUUCAAAGAGCAAAUUGUCUAGCAAUCUCAUUCCUCAUGAUGAAUUCAACAUUGGACCCCGAAGCCACGGCCAAAAUCGAGUCUCUGACUGCCUCUUGCAAAUUUGAUCGCCUUCAUUUCCGUCACCUUCCGAUGCCAGACAUCUCUCAGUGGAAUAUUCCACAUCAGGGAAUCUACCUUCAUCAACUCACAGAGUUUCACAAGUCUAAUGUACGAGAAACAGUCUCCAAAAUCAAAGGUUUUGCAGGGAUUAUUGUUGACAUGAUAAACACGCCAAUGAUGGAUAUAGCUGACGAGCUCAGUGUUCCUAGCUACAUCCUUUUCACUUGUAGUGCGGCCUGUCUUGGCGUUAUGCUCCAUUUCCAAGCGCUCGAAGAUGAGCAAACUAUAAAAACAUGUCAUUUACUCCAGAGAGAAACUAAAUUGGUCAUUCCUAGUUUUACCAACGAAGUUCCAAUUAGUGUACUCCCAAUAUUUACAACUAUGGAGGGAACUUGGUCAGGCAGGUUCUUGAAUCAUACUCGCAAUUAUAGAAGAGCAAAGGGCAUCAUUAUCAACACUUUUGCUGAUUUUGAAUCUCAUGCUAUUGAUUCUUUGUCAAUGAAACAUUCUUACGGUACAACAGGAGUGCCAACCACCUAUCCUGUGGGAUUAAUCCUGAAUAGAUCUCAAAUCCAGGCAGAAUCUACUAAAGGCCAUUUAGAAUUGAUGAAUUGGCUUGAUGAUCAGCCAGCAAAGUCGGUGCUUUUCAUCUGUUUUGGUAGUACAGGAAGUUUCAAAUUAGAUCAAGUGAAAGAAAUAGCACUGGGCCUCGGAAAAAGUGGCUAUCGGUUUAUUUGGGUUCUUAGGCGGCCCCCGGCUAUGAAAGGAGGAUUUGCAGGGGAAUUUGAGAAUCAUGGACCUCUUCUGCCAGAAGGAUUCUUGAAUCGAACAGCUUCGAUUGGAAAGGUUGUCAGCUGGGUUCCACAAUUGGCUAUUUUGUCACACCCGGCUGUGGGCGGAUUUGUCUCGCACUGUGGUUGGAAUUCAACGUUGGAGAGUAUUUGGUGUGGUGUGCCAAUUGCUACAUGGCCGUUGCUUGGAGAUCAACAAUUGAAUGCCUUCCAGUUGGUGAAAGAGUUACGAAUAGCUGUGGAAAUUAGUUUGGAUUACAACGAAGCCAAUGAGCAUCAACCAUUGGUGAAAGCAGGACAAAUAGAGAAAGGAAUAAGGGAAGUGAUGGAUGGUGAGAACGAAGUCCGGAAAAGGGUGAAAGAGCUUAGUGAGAAAAGUAGGCAGGCUAUGAAGGAAGGUGGAUCAUCUCAUGUGACCUUUGAGAAUCUCAUACAUACUAUCUGCAGCAGCCGUCCUAAGUCUGGCGUUUGAAUUGAUAAACUUGGGGAUUUGAAGGGUGAAAACUUGUGUGCUGAACUGAAAUGUUAAUUUGCUCUAUUUUGUAGAGUUACACGUGUUUGAUUAAAACUGUCAACAAACGGUAGGGGCCUGCUGAAAUCCCCACCACAGCAGGUGGAUUUCUUUGUUCCCCUAUUUCUGUUCUUGCUGUCUGAGUUUCAAUGGAAAGUUCUGGCUCUUUCCUGUUCAUAUAAUGGGAACCUGAACUUUUUCUUCUUUUUUAGCGUUCUCUUGUUUCAAAAUGUAGCGUGUUGGUUUUAAUUUCAGCGCUUGGUUUUUGUAGCUGAAGAUAAACAGUAGGUAGCAUAUGAGAAAGUAAGAUUUGGACCCUAUUCAUGUUAAUCUGGUCAAAAGCAGGUUGCACAUAUUUUAACAGGCUGUGGCACCAAUAUGGUAUUUCAUAAGUGCCCUACCGUUGGUGCCCUCCCGGUCUAAUGGUGACUUCAUGACUAGGAUUGAGUUUCAAACAUGUUAUUUAGAUCGGAUUCGAGCAAUCUGCAAAAUUAGCGAGUCGUGUUCGGGUCAAAACAGUUGACUUGUUUAAUUUUUCGACUUGCAUUCGAGUUUGACUGGUUGUCCAGAACAUAUGGGUACAAACCUGACCCGUUAUUCUACGUUCGAACCUAAUUCUCAUCCCUGACAGGGUGUCAAAUCUGUGCAAUAAUAAAUACCUGUUUAAAUAAAAUAUAAUUUCUGUGGAUAGUGAUAAGUAGGGUCAAAUCCACAGUGACUAGGAUAAUUUAUUUCUUUUAGAGUCCGAAAUAUGGGGGGUUUUUGAAAAUGAGAGUAACUAAAUUACUUGGAAUAAAUUAAAAUAAAAUAAAACAACUACAACUCAAAUAACUAAUUAUCACAAUAAAAAUAAUAAUGGACGAACUCUAGCCAAGAGACAACUUCGGAGAUGGUUCACUUAAUUCGAUCACAGAUGCAAGGAUUAUUCCAGUUACUAUCUGAUAAAUUAGUUAUAGUUGUCAUACACGCAAUAAACAACCAACUUUUCCUCAAUUUGUCGAUAGCCAAGGUACGACCGUUGGCUAUUUUUCUAAUCAGGAAAUAACCUUAGGUACGACCAUAGAAGUUCAAUUCCCUAAUUGCAUGAAUAAUUAGAAGAGCCUAAUUCUAACCAAUCAACACGCUACGAGGGUCUCUUUAAGUUAGUCUGUCUAUCUCCCUAACACAAAUCCAAUCAUAUCAGUUGCCACCAGUUUAGAAUAAUUAAAUAAUUACGGAUUUAACUACCCUAAUUGGCUUCAGGUUAUUGAAUUAAUCUAGAAUCCGGACUCUGGAUAAUCGAAUAAUAAAACAAUCAUAUGAACAUAAAGCAGAAGAUAGACGAAUACCAGUGAAUAAUGGAAAUAAAUAAAAACUAAUUCGAUCUCACAAAUUUGGUAGAACCAAGUCCUCCGUUGUUCCUCGACUAGACGGGAUUUAAUUCAUCUUCAUGGAGGAAAUCCCAUGCAAAAGUGCAGAAGUAAUUAUUGAAAACAAGCUAUGUCUCCGUCCCCCCUAGAAGAAAACGGCAAAGCUAUAUAUAAAGUAAUGAAUCCGAAGGAACUAGCUAGAAGCAAAAACAAAAUGAAGCUCUCCUAUUCUAAAACAAAAAUUACUUCUUGUCUCGUGGUCCCCACGAAUAAGGAACAAGCCACAAAGACUAAUGCCUUUCUUUUCCUCUGUACGUUUGUUUCCUUAAAGCCAAAAGAAAUGACUCAAUGCUAUCUAUCUAGUGGUCCCCACCAAAUUGAGAGUCCAAAGGCCAAAGAAUUGGAGCUCUGCGAAGUCCUUGAUAUUAGUUUCCUCUUCAUAGGAAAACUUUUAAUCAGCAAAAGAGAUGCAAUCCGUCUGUGGCACCUUGUGGGCCCGGGUUUGUGAAGCUCUUUGGAGUCUCCCACGUGUGGAGCAAUUUCCUCAACAGGUCCUCUUUUUUAGUAUAUUUCAGUUCAACUUCCCUGUAGAUAGGUCCAAAUAUCAAAUAUAAGUAUAUAUUAACAAUUUAAACAAUAUUUGGCAAGGACAAAGGGGGAAAUUAACAAUAAAAUUACUAACAAUUAGCACCCUAUCAAUUCUUCUCACACUUGAACCAUGCUUGCCCUCAAGCAUGAGAAUAGCAAUUGAACACCAAAAUUUGACAAUGGCUAUUGCUCCAACUACCGUAUUGCCAAGAUACCCAGAAAGACAUAUAUCAAGCAUCACAAGUUAAGAUUCAAGAAAAACCACCCCGGUUAGCUUCCCAACCACCAACUCCUCCAAUUUAAAGCAAACUAAUUUCAGAAAAAGGAAUGGUUGCUCACAUUUAUCAGCAAAUGGUCUAACUGUUAACCAAAAUCUCGACAUUAAGUUCACAAACCGGCAAGCUGAUUUAUUCGCAUACUAACACAAUCUUUACUUUACUUUUUUUUUUCUUUUUGUUCGAGUAACAAAAGACUUAGUCUAUAGCCCUUAGAGUCUUUUGACGCGAACUCCAACAUUUGGCAAAUGGAGGAGCCUGGUUACUCAGCUCUAAUUGCUACGAGACCACGCACUCAUAGCAACUACUAUCUUUUGACGCGAAAAUCAACACUUUAGGUGAAGAUCCCCGAUUACUCAGUAGUAACUACUAGCGGAGUACAGUCAACUCUUAUUUACAACCAUAUAGCACGAUAUCUAAAAGCAACAUAAGAAUAACAGCAGCCAGCCUCAAAUUUCCAGACAUGGAGAACUAAAAUUAAUAAUUGGACCAAUUUACAUGAAAAAUGCCAACAAUCAUUCCCUAUGCCUAGAAAAAUUAACCAAAAAUUGGAAAAGUUAAGCAAUUUCUUGAUAUUCAUCAAAGAGAUGUUCCUGAAUUCAACCACAUCAACUUGAUACAUUUUUAUUAAUAAACUUGGCAAUAGCAUAAUUAGAUACAACAAUCCAGCAUCAAACUUGGUAUUCAUAUGAAGAUUGACCAUUAGAGAAAAAAAAAAGGAGAUAAAUAUCAAACUAAAACAAAGGAAAAACCUCUAGAACCUAAAAACCAAAAAUACUAGCACCCCAACUGAUAUCCCCCCCACACCUAAAUAACACAUUGCCUUCAAUGUGAUAACGUAAAAGCAGAAGGAAGGAGAGGAGCGACGGUACUUCCUUGAAGUCAUCAAAAUAGGGGCAGUUCAGGUGAAAAUUGUGGAUCAACUCGCAUCUGGAGCUGGUGCCAUUUGUGGCUUCACCAUGGACUCUAGAUAUCACUCUAAGCGACAAGAGACUACAAUUGCCAACAAAUAAUGGAAACCGAAAAUUCAAAGCAAUAACAAUUUUAAAGCCAAUCCAACGAAUAAAAUGCACAAUUCAACCACCCAGAGGACAUACAUAUACCCCAACACUUAUAGCAAUGGCAAUCAAUAAGCACUUGCGGUCCCAAAGUAGUCAAUUUCAAAAUCAAUGCAAUCCAAAGUGCAACAAGUGCUCCCAAGAACUUAGUAAAGGAAACCAAAAGGAUAAAAUGCUCCUAAACAAGGCAAUCAGAGGCAACUAACUUCAAUAAGCAAAUUUAAGCGUUACAGGCACCUCCCAAUUUAACAAGCAAAUUACCCACAAUUAGACACAAAUCACAGCAAAUUAGACAUAAUGGGACCCAAAAUCGUAACAACCACCUCCAAUUGGACAGUCAAUUACCCCAUUCAACCUGCCAAAAUCAGCAAUUAACCAAAGAAAAUGCUCAAAUCAUCUCCUGCACUAUCUAAAACAACUCAAUCAUAGGUUGGACAGAAACGACUCAAUCACAAAUGCCCAGUAGUCACAACUCGAUCAAUUGGAAAACUAAUAACACAGGAUAAACAAAUGUUAAACAAUUACCAUCGCCAGUACCACUGGUAAAUGCACAGGAAAAAAUUAAAUCAAAUGGCCAAACAAAGCCACUAAGAAAUACAAACAGCACCAGACAAUACUCCAAGAGCCUAAAUAACCGACAGUUAUAUCAGACUAGGCAAAUCAGCUGCAGGACAUAGCCCAACCCACAGGCUCCAGUAACACAGAUGCAAUCCAAACAAAUUUACUCAAUGAAAUCGCAAUCACCAAAAUCCCAUCAACAUCAGGAAAUCGAAAUCGGAGACCACAAAAUUAAUAAAGAAAAACCUGGCACCAGGGAGGUUGGGUUAUCGACGGCGGCACUGAUCUGUGCGUCGCGAGUGGUGGAGGUGGAGUGGUGCGCGAGGAAUUGGGCUAGACGAGAGGCGGCGGCAGCGUUGCUUUUGCGGCGCGCGUUGGUGGUUGUCGCGAGGCUUGGAGGCAGCGGCGCGCUUGGAGUUGCGCGCGGAGAUGUGGCGAGCCGGCGAAGAGGCGGUGGACGAAGCUUCGUGCGCGCGAGCAGCACGCGACGGCGGCAGCGAGGGAUUUCGGCCAAAGAGAGAAAAAGAAAAGAAGAAGAAGGAAGCAGGGAAGAAGAGGUAGAAAAGAGAAAGAAAGAAAGAAGAAAAAAAGAAAAAGAAAAGAAAAAAGAAAAAAAUAAAAGAAAAUAAAUUGGUUUUGGGAGUUUUUUUUUUCAAUGUUUUUCCAAUUUUUUUCCGGAUUUAAAUUUUCAAAAUUAGAAUUUUUGAAGUUUUUCUUUUCUUUUCUUUUCUUUUUUGAAUUUUUGAAUUUUCUCAAUGUGAAUUUUUUUUUAAAUUUUUUUUUUUUGGGUUUUGGGUCAUUAAACACAGCGUGGGCACACCAAGAUUAUAAAACGUCCACUGAUUUCAGGAGUCACAAACACCGCGUGGGCACGCCAAGAUUGCUGUCCUGACCACAGUGGAGAAAAACAUUAAGACCAACCACAACCUAAAUAAGAAACGACAUAAUUAAAGAAUUUAACAACGAAAAACAAUAAAAUCAAUAUUUGGGUUGCCUCCCAAAAAGUGCCUUUUUUUAAUAUCUUUGGCUAAACAUUGUUAUCUUUGCUCAGGGAGGAUAAAAUCUUGUGGCUCGUUUCAAUGUUUCAUCCUUUAUAUAGUCCUGAUAACCCUCGUAAAUAGAAUAAUUUUUGAGCACACGAGCUACGGUUUUCCUUGGACUAGUAGAUGGCGCCAAAUAAUCAAGUAGUGAUCUCAAUUCUUCAUCCACUCCUCCAUCAAGAACACUCAACGGUUCAAGAUAUUUGACCAUAGCUACUCGUAACUUAUUUCUGCCAUGAGACUCAAAAACUUCCGGUAUAACAAAAUCAAUCUCAUUAACAGAAAUCAUAGAGUAAGAAUUAGGAAAAUGCGGGUAAGGGAAUGGAGGUGGUGUCACCACAUUUGAUGAUUCUUCACUGGAUUCUUUCACUUGAAUGGGUUGCGGUUGGGGUUCCAUUUCUUCCUUUUCGACUUCUUUUUCAACUGCAUCUGUAGAUCUCUCAUUUUGAUACUUUUGCAUCUCCUCAUCACUAGUCAAGCAAAUUGCACUCUCAUUUUCUUCAAAAUCAACAAUGGUUUUCGAGGGCAAUUCUUCAAUUUGAGAAGCCAAUCGAUUUAUUUUGGAUGUCAAUAGACAUAUUUGAUCUGCCAGAUUACUCAUUGCAUCCUUCAUCAUCCCAUUUCUCAUUUGUGUCUCCUGUUGGAAUUGAUAUGUAUUAGUAGCUAUUGAUUCAACUAUUUCUUCAAGAGACAUACCUGACAUAGAUGAUGAUUCUUGAGACUCAUACUGCUGAAAAUUCAUUGGCCCUGUUGUAUAAUUAUAACUGGAGUUAUCCCACCAUCCUUGAUCAUACCCGUUUGGAUUAGGGUUAUACCACGUUUGAGACCAGGGUGAGAAAUCUCCAUAAUUAUUGAGUGGGACACUCAGAUUAUCUUAAUAUUCGGGGCACAUACCGGUUGAAUGAUCCCUGGCAUAACAAAUUUUACAGGUUGCAACAGUCAUUCUUUCUCUAAUAGAGUUUAGUGCCUCUGAAUAUGCAAACAUAGCAAAAAAACAAGCCUCAUUGCCUUCCCUGGAAACAAAAUUCAGUCUAUCACCAAAAUACGGAGUGUUAGAAGUCAUAAACUAUAUAAAAAAAAAAUAAGAGAAAAAAAAUAAAAACAAGAUGAAUUCAAAAAGAAACAAAUUAAUCUGGCACCAGUCCCCGGCAACGGCGCAAAAAAUUGACAGGGUGUCGAACCUGUGCAAUAAUAAAUACCUGUUUAAAUAAAAUAUAAUUUCUGUAGAUAGUGAUAAACAGGGUCGAAUCCACAAGGAUUUGGGAUAAUUUAUUUCUUUUAGACUCCGAAGUAUGGGGGGUUUUUGAAAAUGAGAGUAACUAAAUUACUUGGAAUAAAUUAAAAUAAAAUAAAACAACUACAACUCAAAUAACUAAUUAUCACAAUAAAAAUAAUAAUGGACGAACUCUAGCCAAGAGACAGUUUCGGAGAUGGUUCACUUAAUUCGAUCACAGAUGCAAGGAUUAUUCCAGUUACUAUCUGAUAAAUUAGUUAUAGUUGUCAUACACGCGAUAAACAACCAACUCUUCCUCAAUUUGUCGAUAGCCAAGGUACGACCGUUGACUAUUUCUCUAAUCAGGAAAUAACCCUAGGUACGACCAUAGAAGUUCAAUUCCCUAAUUGCAUGAAUAAUUAGAAGAGCCUAAUUCUAACCAAUCAACACGCUACGAGGGUCUCUUUAAGUUAGCCUGUCUAUCUUCCUGACACAAACCCAAUCAUGUCAGUUGCCACCAGUUUAGAAUAAUUAAACAAUCACAUAUUUAACUACCCUAAUUGGCUUCAGAUUAUUGAAUUAAUCUAGAAUUCGGGUCCUGGAUAAUCGAAUAAUAAAACAACCAUAUAAACAUAAAGCAGAAGAUAGACGAAUACCAGUGAAUAAUGGAAAUAAAUAAAAACUAAUUCGAUCUCACAAAUUUAGUAGAACCAAAUCCUCCGUUGUUUCUCAACUAGACGAAGGGAUUUAAUUCAUCUUCAUGGAGGAAAUCCCAUGCAAAAGUGCAGAAGUAAUUAUUGAAAACAAGCUAUGUCUUCGUCCCCCCUAGAAGAAAACGGCAAAAUUAUAUAUAAAGUAAUGAAUACGAAGGAACUAGCUAGAAGCAAAAACAAAACGAAGCUCUCCUAUUCUAAAACAAAAACUACUUCUUGUCUCGUGGUCCCCACGAAUAAGGAACAAGCCACAAAGACUAAUGCCUUUCUUCUCCUCUGUACGUUUGUUUCCUUAAAGCCAAAAGAAAUGACUCAAUGCUAUCUAUCUAGUGGUCCCCAUUGAAUUGAGAGUCCAAAGGCCAAAGAAUUGGAGCUCUGCGAAGUCCUUGAUAUUAGUUUCCUCUUCAUAGGAAAACUUCUAAUCAGCAAAAAAGAUGCAAUCCGUCUGUGGCACCUUGUGGGCCCAGGUUUGUGAAGCUCUUUGAAGUCUUCACGUGUGGAGCAAUUUUCCUCAACAGGUCCUCAUUUUUAGUAUAUUUCAGUUCAACUUCCCUGUAGAUAGGUUCAAAUACCAAAUAUAAGUAUAUAUUAACAAUUUAAACAAUAUUUGGCAAGGACAAAGGGGGAAAUUAACAAUAAAAUUACUAACAAUUAGCACCCUAUCAAUCCCCUAUAAAUUACUCAUUAUUUAAUCAUUUUUUAUUUUAUCUUGAAACCAUAGUUCACUAAUUCCCAUCCCCUAUAAAUUACUCACUAUUCUAAUCAUGUUUUAUUUUAUCUUGAAACCAUGGGCCUGUUUGGAACCUGAAUUUUUUGGGAGUUUGUCUAAAACUUUACUGUAGUGCACUGUAGAAGUUUUUAAAAAAUUUUUGUAGAAGUUUUUGUAAGGUAAAAAAUUUUUUUAUAGAAGUUUUUGUAAUGUGAAAAAAUUUGUAGAAGUUUUGGUAGGGUGAAUUUUUUGUUCCUUUUCUUUUUUUCUUUUUCUCUUUCUCUUUCUUUUUCUUUUUCUUUCUUUCAUUUUUCUUCUUCUUCUUCUUCUUCUUCUUCCCCUUACCCGUUACCUCUGCCUCCCACCUCCGCUCCUCUGCUAGCACCACCUCUUUUUUUUUUUUUUUUUCUCCUCUCCCCCCUCCCUCUCCCUCCCCCCGCCACCCCUUUCCUCCCCUCUCCCCACCACCCCCUCCUACUCCCUUCCCCGUUCCCCCCUCUGCCCGCCACACCCCUUGGGCCGCCACCCCUCCCUACUCCCUCCCCCGCCACCUCCCUAUGCCCACCAUCCCUUUCCUCCCUCUCUCCCCAACUCCCUCUGCCCUUCCCCCUCUGCCCGCCACUCCUCUCCCCACCCCUCAGCCCUUCCCCCUCAGCCCUGCAACUCUUUCUCCCCGCCCACCCCCUCAGCCCCUUCCCCCUCUGCCCCCGCCACUCCUCUCCCCCCGGACGAUUGUGCCUGCAGUUAGGAUGAGGAUAAAGCACGAGGCGCAGAUGGAGCUAUCAAAUGGGGUGAAAUUGGAAGGGGCGACGUUGGUUGUUGUGAGGCCCAUAAAUGCUAGUGGAUGUGGUGGUCGCGAAGGAGGGAGUGAGACGGAGGAGCAAAGCGGGGAUGUGGGAUUGGCGAUGGGGGCGUUCAGAGGCGAUGGAGUUUAUGGGGAGGCUGUUGAGAGGUUGCUCAAAUGCAGGUGGUGGGUUCGGUGGGGAGGAAGAAGAAAGAAGGAGAAGGGAUUUUUUUUUUUUUUUUUUGUGUUUUGGAUAUUUUAAGUGUGUAGAUAAAAAACUUUGAGAAGUUUUUUGGGGUUCCUGUAGCAAAAGUUGUUAAAAAACUAGUAGGUAAAAAACUUAGGCAAAAAACUAGCUUCCAAACAGGCCCCAUAAUUCACGGGGAAAAUUACGACACAGGUGUCUAUUCCCGCUAUGCAGGCCUUGACCCUUAGGACUGGUUUACAGCUUUUGGGCCUCUCGGCAAAAGCAACACAUCUAAGAAAGAGAGCGAUCAAUGAGUAGUUAAGUUUCUAAUCUAAUUGUUCUUGUGUCAUUUUUUUUCCUCCUUUUCCUUUUGUUCUGGUCUGUUGAGUAUGGUACAACUAGAGUUAGGUUUGAAAUAAUACACAUUCCAGUUCCGCAGCUUUCUCUCUAUGUUCAUCUUUGGCUCUUAUCCUCUUUUUCCCUAACACUAGGCUUAACCCAAAAAAUCGGAAACAAUUUCUAUCAAAAUCUUUCUCUGAAACCCUUAUCCUCCAUUCUCUUUGUCGCUUUUAACAAAAUGCAUUAUUUCACUUCUCUCACUCAGAGGAAAUGGUUUGAGCCAGAAAUAUUUGCCUCUGCUUUGCCUCUCUCACUGUCAUUAGAGGUGUCAAAAUGGGUGACUUGGGCGGGUUUGGGUUGGGUAAAAUGGGUAAUGGGUAUAAGUGAGUCAACUCAUUUAUACCCAUUUAAUUAGAUGGGUAUAAAUGGGUAAGUCAAAAAAUGAAUUGGGUAACCCAAUUACCCAUUUAUAACUCAUUUAUUUUAACUUUUUGCAAACUCAUUUAAAUUCAUUUUUGCAAACUAAGUUAUCAAUUUAUACCACUCUUUGUACCCAUCAUUAGUUUUAAAUAUUUACUUAUAAUGCUCAAUAAACUUAAUUACCAAUUUUUUUUAUUUAUACUCUAUGUCACAAAAUUACUUAUUAUUUAAUAAUUGAAUAAUACGAAUAUAAAAAUUUGAAUUAAGUACUAUAAAAAUUAAUAUCAAAACUUAAUCCAAAAAUUUUGAACCCCUAACAUUUUUUUCAUAUAUAAAUUUAAAAUUUCAUUUUAUAAAGAUAAGAAAAUAGGCUAAAAUUUAUCAUAAAUUGGUAAUGCUAAAAAAUGAGCAAGUUAACAAACUAAGAAAAAAUAAAAUAAUAAGAUAAAACCAACAAAUAAUAAUAAUAAUAAUAAUAAUAAUGUUAACAUUAUGACAAAAUGAAAAAUUUGAAAAAAAAGGUAGGGAAAAAGAAAAGACUUAGGGGGAAGAGAAUUUUAAAUGGGUUAAUUGGGUUUGAUGGGUUACCCAAUAAUACCCAUUUAAUAAAUGGGUAUUAUUGGGUAACCCAUUUAUACCCAUAUACAAAAAUUUAAGAUACCCAUACCCAUCUAUUCAUGGACGGGUAUGGGUAAAUCUAGUUAAGUGGGUUGAUUUGCCACCUCUAACUGUCGUCACCUUCCUAUUCUAGUGCAGUCAGCUCCAUUUCAGCUCACAAAAAUUAACCAUUUCUGCUUUCUGAAGAAGCCCUUUUAACACUUCACUAUUUCCCUCUAAGAGAAUAAAGUAAACAAUGCAUUCACUUCCUAAUGUCCAAACCCCAUACAAAUCAUUCCCAGCAUCACACAACGGCAAAACAGAACUACACAUUUCAAUGACCAAUAGCAGGAAGCAAGAUAUACUAUACUUACAGAGCCAGGGGAGUAACCAGAGAGUACAUCCUGAAGAGAAGAUUCUGGUUUUCGCAUGAGAAGGCGCAUAAAAGGAUCACAUGACAGGAAUAGAUUCUUAACCAACACCCCAUUAUUUGAGCUUUCUGGGACUGUCAAGCUUGUGGUGGCGUGCGUCCUGAUGUUGAAAUCAGACUCCCCUGGGAGUCCAGUUACAUAGACUUUCAACAUCACCUGCUUUUUCUUCACCACCUCUGCUUCUUGUGCCAUUGCAUCACUAUCAAUCACUAUGGUAGAUAGCAGAAAAUUUUGCAAUUUUUUCUGUGAAUGCCUGUUAGAUGGAGUGAGGGAACUUUUGAAACAUAUAUUUGCUGGCUUUUGCAGGAGAGGAUGAAUUAAGCUAUGGAUGUAAGAUAUGACGUCUGUCCAAUAACCAAACAAGCGUGAAAGAAAGCUGAACAAAUGGCUGCAUAUCUCACUUAUGCAAGAAAUUGUUCAAUUGAAUGAUUACAUAAACUGCUAUAGGAUUCCUUUAUCAGAUGAGAUACUAAGACAAAAUAAAAAGGGAUCCCUGGUUGCAGAAUUUGGUUUUUAUAGUGCUAAAAGCCAACGAAAUUUGAGAAACAAACGUUCAAAAUGGCAAAAUCGAUACUCUUUAUAAUGAACUGCUUAAGCAACGAAGGUGUGAUCUGUUAUUUUUAGUUGGCAAUAUGGGUAUAAUGUAAUCAGAUGGUGAAGAUAUAAUUUAGUGAUUGAAAGGAGUAACCAACUCAGUUAGAUGAAUUUACGUUUCAGAAGAAGUUUGAACCUUCGGCCUAGUCUUCAUAACGAAUUUUAAGAGGCCCUUCCCAACCAGCUCAACUAGAUGAAUAUAUGUUUAUUGUUUUUCAUUACUUUUUAGAGACUAUAGGUUUCCGUUAAUCCUUAUCUUCCAGAGAAAAGGAGUUCGGCAUGGCAAAUAGAAAACCUACCGAUAAGUGCCAUAGCAGCCAACAAAAGAAAAGCCAAAAGAGAUUUCCCAUGAUGAUCAAGAUACGAGCUUCAGCCUUUCAAUUAGAAAACAAUUUUUCCCCAUUGCUAGAAACUUAAUUUAUAAUCUAGGAAACUAAAAAAUCAAUCUUGAAAGCACAAUUCAAAGAUGCACAAGUGUUCUGAUAGGUAAGCUUAUUUAUUCAUCUGAAACGAGAAACAGAAAAUAUCUGCGUAGAUUCUGAUGGCAACAAAUCGAAAUCAGGAUUUACUCAUCCUUGACUUCAACUUGGCACUGUAUUAUCUGGCCUGAUAAAGUUCACAAAGAACUCCAGGUGCACAAACGCAUGAGAGCUCAAACUAGUGGAAUUAAAUUGCUAAUAGCCUGUAGACUGAGGUAUAUACUCUAUGUACAAAGGGAUGGUCAAAGGAACCUGAGAUCAUUCACGAGCAACCAAAACAACCUGUUUCCCGACAUUGCGACCACUAAACAGACCAACAAGGGCAGCAGGACCAUUUUCAAGGCCUUCUGCAAUGUCUUCUACGUAGGUGAUCUUUUUUGCUCGGAUUUGAGGGAGUACAAGGUCCAAAAACUUCGGAUAGAGGUGAAGGUAAUCAAACACAGCAAAUCCCUCCACUCUAAGACGCUUGAAAAGAAUAGAAGCCACAUUAUAUAGUCCUUCAGGUUUCUCUAGGUUGUAUUGCGAGAUCAGUCCACACACAGCAAUUCGUCCAUGCAUUCUCAUGUUGAGAAGCACAGCAUCCAACAUCUUUCCCCCAACAUUUUCAAAGUAAAUAUCAAUUCCUUCAGGGAAGUACCUGCAAAAGAAAUUCAAUCAAUCAAGUUAUAUCAAUGCUUACUGCACUCUAACUAGGCCAUUGCGACCUCAAGUUAAAUUGAUGUUUCUAUGCAUAACAAUUAAAAAGUUAAGGCAAUCAUGACAGUCACUGGACACAAUGGAAGAAAGAGGAACAAGUAUUGCUUUUGUAAACAAGUAAUGUCAAUCAAACCUAAAAGUUUUCAUUAUUUAGGUAUUUCUGUUUCUAUUGUAUUACUGUCCAUGGAUAGAAAAUUGAAGGGCAACAUUCAAAGUCAUUCCACAAAGGGGCACUGGAAAAAUAAAAUGUGCUUCUGACAGCCACUUGGUAUAAACUUGGACAAGACUGGAAAGCAGCCUUCAUAGUUAUCCUGUCUUUAUUUCUGGUUCUUGUUAAUUUUAAUCUUUUCUUUUUGUUUGGGGUGUUCCUCUGCUCCUCAUUCCAAAUGAACCAUAGGCCUCUUGUAUAUGCAGUAGAAAAAGUUUGGUUCAGCAUAUUGUUAAUGCUGCUUAGCAAACAGAAAACAGGUAUUGUAGGUGGCAUUCUGCAGCUGUUGCUUUAAGUUCUCCCAAAUCAGUAUGAUCUGUAGUCAGACUAUUAUGAGUAAGGUCAGUAAUUUGACAGGACAAGCUGGUUUGGCCUGCUCUAGCCAACCACUAAGAGUACAGUUAGGACAGCAGCAGUUGAUGAACGCUACAUGUGUUGAUCUGCUACAUGAUCUAGUCAGAAACCUGAUCAGGCUAAUAAUUCCAUCUUGUUUCAUUUCAGACAAGAGUGCCUGACUGAUCUAGUUCUUUUGCUUGCUUCUAAAUUCUGAGGACACCAUGACAAUCUUUAUGUUCUUUGUCAUCUCUUUUACAUCCAAUUUUUACUGUCAUAGCUCACAAAACCUGGAAACUUUAAAUGUUCUUUGUGAUUUCCCUACUAAAAAUUUGGUCAGAUACCUCAGAGAUGUCGAACAUAUAUGGCACAUCUUAUAGUUGGAAUGCAAGAUGUCAUUACAACUGAGGAGAACAAGUUUGAAAGAUUGGCUACACAAGUUGAUUUUGGCAAUUAGUGCCUCUAGCUAUGGCAGGAUAGAAAUAAUAGAUUUUUUAAUACGAAAAAGAAAUCACCCAAUUAGGUACUUGGAAAGAUUUCUAGUUUAAAGGCAAACAAGUUACAUGACAUGGAUACCAGAAUACUGGAUGCUUGUGGAAAGGGGAACCUAUCACCAAAUUGGGGCUUUUUACAAGAAACUUUGGUUGCAUAGAUUCUGUUCUUUAAGCAAGAAGCUACAGGGUCUUUUUGAAUAUGGGACUCCACUUACCCCAUAGAUGAUUCCAAUUACAGAGUCUUUAACCAUGUACUUUAUUUGCUUUAUCCCUUAACAGAACGCAAGAUUUUACAAGAGAAAGACAAGAGAAAACCUUCAUGAAAGUCUAAUAUUAGCUUUGCUAUGAUUUUAGUCACAAUCUUUCGCAAGCAGAAGAAGUUGUGAGGCUAAAUGAUCUCAAACUAUGGUUGUGCCUCAUCAAAAAGUGGGUGCAUUGAAGAUAAUUAUUGCACACGAAUUUCCUAGAGUGCUCUUAAGGUAAAGCAUUGUAAAGCUGCCACUGGUAUAAAAAGUAUGUAAUUAACAGUUCAUUCUCAGAAGCUUUAAACACAUAAUUAGAAUAUGUUAAUGUUAGGCAUACCUUUUCAAAGCCGCAUCCAAGCCCUGCUCCUCUUUAUAAUUGAAAGCAUCAUCAAAUCCCAACUUAUUCUUCAGAAGAUCAACCUUGUCAACAUAAAUUUAAAGCGGAAGUUAGAACACAUAUAUGAAUCAAAAAUAUUAUUAGCUGGACAAAGACAAAUACAAGGUCCAACUGUAGAGCGUGGAAUAAGACCAAUAUCAGGAUGAAAAGUUACUCAAAAUCAACAACCGGGUCUUGAGUAAUGCUUGAGAUGCUAAAUGCAAUUUCGACCGAGAAUGAAGCCAGUGGCCAAACAUGAAAACUCAGAAGCACAUGACCAUCUGCCCUGACAUGGAUGACAAGAAAUUCUGGAAUUUGCAAUCAAAAUUCAAAGGCAGCUUUUAAUUACAUGAAAUUCUAAUUAUAUGAAGACUACGUAGCAGGUUGCAGAGUCAGACACAACAUCAGGUCAAAAAGGUAAAACUUGCACGAAAUAUUUAACUUACUCUGCAGUACAGAACCAUGUGUACACUUGGGUUAUCCAAAGAAACAACUGUCAGAAAUGGUCCUAAGAUAGAGGUGGUCUAAUGUACCUUGUAGUCUGUACAACAAACAAAAAAGCAACAUUCAACUUGAAAGAAAUAAGAAGUUAUAGACGUGAUAUACCUUUUCUCUACUUCCAGCACUUCCUACUACAUGGCAGCCAGUCAAUUUUGCAAAUUGUCCAACAAGCUGGCCAACAGCACCAGAUGCUGCAGAUACAAAUACUUUUUCUCCCUUCUUUGGAUUGCAAACCUCAAAGAGUCCACCAUAAGCGGUCAAACCGGGCAUACCUUCAAAAGACAUAGUGUUAAUAUCAAUGAAAAAAAUGCUAAAGGAUUAUGUGAUGCUAUUUGUUUUGGGUUCCUUUAGUGCUACAGGUGAUUAGCUGUCUUUUAAGAAAAACACUAGUUCUUGUAAUAAUGAAAGUCUUUUAUGAAGAACUAAAGACCCUGGAAAGUUAACAUCCUAUCAUUUGCCUGUAUUGUUGAUUGAACCGUAUCAAAGCUGGUUUGUCAUGCACAAAUGCAGUCCUAAGAUGGGGUUUAAAAUAACCAAGGGAUGCAUAUAUCCUUCCUUUGAAAAGGAAAAAUAAUAGCCAUCCCAAUUAUGGGAUGAAACUAAAGGAGCCACGGGCUAGAGGGUGGUUUCAGGACAUGGGCGGGGAAAGAUUUUAGAGUUAUCCAGGUACUGCUUUUCAUGGAGAUAUAUCUUUAAAUUCCUCAAGGGAUUCCUAAAAACCAAAAUUUCAAUUAACAUGUCUUCAUAUCUCAUGUCCUAUCUUUUGGUCGAGAAAACUUUAUUUGUCUUUCAAAUUUAGAUUGAUACUUGUACAACUAGUAGUCGCACGUCUUCAUUAUCUUAGCAAACUCAAAAAAGUGUGAGCUGAACCACAAAUGUCAAGUAGAGAAGGUUCAGUACCCUCUUUCACUUUUCCUAGGGUAAACAUUAUCAGGGCAUCACUGAAAUUUGAAGUCCAGAGAACUUGGAGAGCAGAAAAUUCAGUGGCUGACCUUGAAAGACGAUGAAAUGCUACCACUAGUGCAAAAACACAUCCAAAAGAAGAACAUCAUGGGAAAACGCACAACCACAUAAUAUGCAUGAAACACAAUAGCACCAGAUGACCACACACUGGAAAAUGAAAUUUCAUGAAACUGAAAAAGAAAUGCACAAGUUCACAAGCAUCGAUUUUGCAUGCACAGAAAAAGUCUCCUGAAAACAUAGUUACCAAGUUUUAGUUCUCAAGGUUAUGCAAAUCAAAUUUGGAUUAUUCUAUAAUUUUCAGCUACAUCUCCGAUAGCAAAAUGACAUCACUCAGCAAGUGUGGAGCUCACCUAGAAGUCCAGUGUAAUGGGAAAGGGGUACAUCUGUAUGCUCAAUCUUGAAAAGAGAAUCAGGUUCUGCUAUGAGACUGUACUCCUCCCAUCCAGUUAUACCCCACACCAAGUCACCCUUCUCGAACUUUGGAUGCCUUGAAUCCACUACUUUAGCUACCCCAAAUCCAUUUAUUGUCUGCAAAUUAUCACCAUUUCAGUAAAACAGAUACAAACAUAAAAUUUCAGAUACACCAGUUGUCAAAAAUGCAACAAAAAAUCAUUCUAUUCAAUGCUCUACGAUAAAUAUCAGCCGACAGAUCUGAUGGUGAGGAAUAACAAAUUGUGGUCAAAUGAGAAGCUUCCACAGAGGUUUACAAAAGAAAAAGAUGUUUUAUUACCUUAAUUUUCAUUUAUUCUAACAUCUUGAACUUCAUUUUUUUUUUUUUUUGGCAAGAUAAGUUUGAGCAUAUUCCUAGGAGUUUAGAUUCUCAAUUGACAUGUAAAUUGUCAUCAAACUUAGAAAAUUGAAUAAUGUUCCUCAAUGACGAAAGAUAAACAAAAUCAUAAUUUAUUGGAAGGUCGAUUUGGCCAAGAAAAAUGCAUGUACUGCAGUUAGUUACUAACAAAUUCAGGAAAAGUGCUAGACCCUAUUGAAAGGUUUCCCUCCAUCAGAAACUUUUUAACCUUACCCUGAUUUCUGAAGAAGCCCUUUUAGCUAUUAACCAAUUACCUCUAACAGAAGACAAUGAACGAUGCAUUCAACUUCCACGCCACAAUUAUUGUCUACAUCGAGAGAUUAUGAUAGCAUAACAAUAACAUAGUAUUACAAACUUCAAACACUGACAGCAGGAAGGAAAACUAUACUUACAGAGCCAAGGGAGAAACGAGAGAAUUGCGCCUCAAGAGAAGAAUCUGAUUUUUGCAGGAGAAAGCUCAGGUAAGGAUCACAAGACAAGUAGAAAUUCUUAACCAAUACCCCUUUACUGGAGCUUUCUGGGACUUUCAAGCUCAUGGUGCUGUCUGUUUUGAUGAUGAAAUCAGAGUCUUUUACGAAUCCAGUUGCAUAGUUUUUCAACACCACCUGCUUGUUCUUCACUACCUCUGCUUCUUCUGCCAUUGCAGCACUUUGGUUCAGCAUAGACCUGGCACUUUGGAGCAGCAAAGUCUGUCUAGCUUUUUCUGGCUCUUAUAGGAGAACACAGAAGUACAGAACAAAGGUCUUGAUGUAAGAUAUGACGUCUUUAAAAAGCCGUGUCAAGAACGGGUGCAUGAGAAAGCAGGAUGACAAACGGUUGCAGGUCUCAAUUUACCUGCAAUUACUUCAAUUCCACGACAACCAAUUGUCAAUUAGUAAAACUUAUCUUCUUAUUCUGUACAUUUUCUGAAAAGAUAUUUGUUUUGGGUGGACGAGCUCGAUUAAGCUAGAUUGAACUCGAUUAGGAUUGAUCAGACACAAUCAUAAGAUUGGUCAAUCAGGCUUUGUUGAACUCAAUUAGAUUUGAUGAGACACGAGCCCAAGUACGAGUUAGAACUUAAAUUCAAUUAAAAAUUCAACGAACUCAAACUCAAUUAUUAUAAGUUGAGCUCAAAUUUCGACUCAACUCAAAUGUAUUUCUAUUUUUUGAACGUGAAUGAUAUUCACUAUUACUUUAAUCAUCAUCUGUUAGUAUCUUUUUUGGAAUGUGAGUGAUAUUCACUCUAAAAAUUGUUGGUCAUUAACAGGGUAUUGUGGUAAUUUCACCAAUGCCCAUUUGUAACAUUUUUAAUUAAUUUCAAAAUAUAUUAUUAAAAAAUUCAUUAGUGGAUAGAAAUAUAUAUUUUUCCGUUCCAAUACUAUCUUUUUCUUGUAAAUCAUUUCCGUUCCAUAACAAAUCUAAUUAAUCCCUUAGCUUUUGAAAACUCGGUUGAUAUAAGUUUUUGAUUAGGAAUUACAAGGCGUUAAUAAGGUUGAAAGACUUAUUAAUAAUUUUCGUGUUAUUAGUCUACACGAGAAAUAUAAUAAAAUUUUAAGUAGAAAAUCCAAAAGUUAUUUGAGAAUUUUACAAUGACGAACGUAACAUUUCACACUUUAAAAGCACCUCAAAUAAGUUUCUAAAUAUAUAGUUAAGAAUUUAAAUUGUCCAAGCCAUUGAUAUAGACAAAAAAAAUAGAAAAUUCAAAAAGCUUGCACAUAAUUCAUAAAUCUUUAAAUUCAUCCACAAGCACCUUUUGAAUUAAAAAAUAAAUUUUCUCAUUGACAAAACCUCAAAUGAGUUUGUAAACAUGAACAUUUUAUCUUUUUUGCUAGUUUUCAAGCCAUCAACCUAAACAAUAAAUUUUAAAAGAAUUAAAAACUAUUUGAAUUUGAAAAACUCCUCAAAUUGACCAAAAACACUUCACAAUAAAGGAAUAAUCUUUUUUUUUUGUCUUGAAAACACUUUGAAUAUAUUCUUAAAACCAAUUUUUUUAUGUCAAAAUACCAACUAUUAUAUUGUGUUUAUCAAAAUUACACCUUUAUACAAUUUGUCUUCAUUUUCAACUUUUAUUACAUACUUCAAGCUUUGAAAAACAAAUGAGUUUUUUUAAAUAAUACAUCUUGAAAUGGGUUGACAGUGUUACGAAAAGUUAAACGUAAGGGAUGCAAGUGAUAUUUUUCAAAAUUAAGAGGGUGCUAAGUGAAAUUGAUAAAAAAAACUCAAGGGAUGUUUCUAAAAUUAUCCCCUUCUUAAAACUUAUAUGUUGUACGUACAUGUACAGGUUUAUUAUUUGUUGUUGUACUUUAAACUUUAGAUCGAAAUAAUUGUUGAUUUUUAUAAUUUAAGCUAUAGUUGAAUAUUUGCCAAAGUUUGUCCUUCUAUCCCAAUUUGUUGUAAAAUUUUUGUAGAAGAAAAUUGUGAAUAAACACUCGACGGUCCCCACCCACUGGGGUUUAGCGUAAGAUAAGAUCAUGAAUUUAGCCUCGAAAUUCGACUCAAGUCAUGGCUUAGAGUACCACGGCAGAAAGAUAUAGGGACUAAUAACACUUUGCCCCCUAAACUUUAGAAAUAAUCACAUUUUAUUAUCCUCAACUGUAAAAAUAUAUGUUUAACUCUCGAUAACGACUAGUCAAAAAAUAAAAAUAUCAAAAAAAAAGUGAUUGCAAUGACAUUAUCUAUAAUUACCUGUUAUUUGCCUCUCAUUGUUAAAGGAUAUACAUCCCUUUUAUAUUGUCAACUAUGCAAAAAUAUCAAACUAAUAACAUUUUUUUAAAAAAAUUUUACAUUUAGUUUGGGGUUAACAAAAAUUUGCCCUUCUGAAAGUAUAGAGUAGUCACAGUUUGCCACCCUAAGUUUUAAAUAUAUACAUUUUGCCCCCCUCAUUUGUCAGGUUAGAGAUAAUGUAGUAAAAAAAAAAAUAAUAAGACUUCUUUGAGCAAUAUAUAAUGAAUUUUAAAUUUAUCCAAAAUACAAUUCAACUAGUUUGCAAAAACCAGCAAAUGGAAUUUCGCAAAGUUAUCUUAGAAAUAGUUCUGGUUUGGCUAAAUAUUUUUUUAUCCCGGCUGUAAUCAAUUGCCCUUCAAAUUUGUUUGUACUGUCCAAUGUUGAUCCACAACAACUAUUAGUUGCAUGUCUCUUACCAUUAUGAAGGAAAUUUCUUUCUUGAAUUGGUUAAUCAUUUUCGUAUUUUUCUCAAUCAUUUUAAGAGUCCCCAAAUUUAGAUUUGAUUUAGAAUUUUUUUCGUAACUUGUAAAAUUAAUUAAUCGAUUACCAAGCAGUAAAGAGGGCUUUUUUUUUUCUAUUUUUUCUUUGGAAAAUGCUAAUGGUACUCUUUUGGUUGUUAAUUGCAGUGCUAUUGACUUUUUAUUUUUUUUUAAAACUCACGUGAAGUAUAAAAAUGUCAUUCCUCUUCACUUUAAUUAUAACUUCAUAAAGUUGGUUGUAAAUUUAGUGAAGAGUUAGGGGCUACUUGGUUAAAGGGUUGGGAAUCACAGAAUGGAAUAAACCUCUUAUUUGUUACUUGACUUAAACCUAUUGGAAUGCAAUCUUUGGAAUCAUUUCUAAAAAAUCAGACUUCCUUCAUUCUCGAGCAAAUUGGGAGGUUUUGAACAAAACUCUCAACUGAUUCCCUCAGACAAUAUUUAUGACGGGCAUAUCUUCUCUUUCUCUCCAUCACACGCAACACCUUCUGUUCUUCUUCUUUAUCAGAUUUCCUCUCUCUUCUUCUUCAUCUCUUAUCCAAAAUUUCUUCUCCGUUGCCUCUGCAAUUUUCUUCUCCGUAUGCAAGCUUUUCUCUUCCUUCUUCUCUGUUUUUUCAGGCUGCUCAUUGGUUAGCUAAAAAUAAAAAAGAAAAGAAGGGAAUCUGACACAAUAACACUAAAACUGGACCAAAAUGCUAUGCUUUGGACCCAUUACCUUCUCACUUUUAUUCCACUCACGCUACUCACUGUGUUUUCUUGAAUUACGCAUUCAAUGGAAGCUCAGAAACAAAGGUCAGUCGAUUCUUGAUAUUUUGGUUAUUUGAUCCGUGAAUACUGGUAUAAUUUGGGUGGGCUUCUGGUUACCUUGUACCUAUUUGUAAAAUUGUUUGCCUGAAUACCUUUCAGUUUCAUAGUUAUGGGCAUUAAAUACAAAACCUGCGAGUUUCCCAUAAAGAGCUGGUAUCUUAUGAGCUAUUUCUUUUCUUUUUUUUUUUAACUUUCACAUAUUUAAUUUAUGUUAAAUACAAAAUACACUAGUAUUCCUUUGGCCGCUAUUUAACCAGUUUUUCCUAUAAAGAGCUAGUGUGUUUUCUAUAAAGAGUUGGUACAAAAUAUACUACAAAACCUGCCAGUUUUUCAUAAAGAGCUGGUAUCUUAUGCGCUAUUUCUUUUUUUUUUUUGACUUUCACAUAUUUAAUUUAUAAAUAUAAAACAUACUAGUUUUCAUAUGGCCACUAUUUAACCAAUUUUUCCUAUAAAGAGUUGGUAUGUUUCCCAUAAAGAGUUGGUACAAAACAUACUACAAAACCUGCUAGUUUUUCAUAAAGAGCUGGUAUGUUAUGUGCUAUUUAACCAAUUUUUCAUAUUUAAACAAAUUUAUGAAAAUUAAAAUAACGUAUUUGAAAGUUGCGUUUUUAUUUGGAAGAACGCAUUCGCUAGAUGUAUUUUUCACCCUUUGGGAAGAGACUUAAAAAUCGCCACCCUUUAGGAAGUUAAUUUAAAAACUCCCUGUUUUUGGGAAUUUACACCUUGUUAACGCAGCCACUACAUUUAUUUUCUGGUAUUAAUUUUUUUAAAAUUUAUGAUUUUCUUAUGUUUUAUUAAAAAGUUAAUAACUAUUGUAGUUACAAUUAUGGAAAUGUUAAUUUAUCGUAUGUGUAAUUCUUUUAUUUUAUAAGAAUUGUUAUAUCAAGGGUAAAUUUCAAAUUUAAUUGCAUUUAAUUCCGAAACACUCAUCAAACCAAGCAUCAGGAAUUGGAAUGAUGCUAAUUCCAAUGUGUGAAUCAAACUAGAUAUUGGAAUGAAAAGUUUAAUUCCAAAACCAGAGUCUAUGAUUUCAUUUCCAUUUCCGACUCCAAUCUGUGAAACAAGCAGCCCCUUAGUGUUAUUUUAUCUAAUCUUACAUGGUCAAGAGAGGGAUUGUCAUUAAAAAUAAGAUUAAUCUUCACUGACAGUGUAUAUACUUUCACCCAUAGUUAUUAAACCCAACCCGGGAAGGAACCCGGCGAAGGAGGUGGGUCAACGGGUUACUGGUUGAACCGGUGGGUGAGUGGUUGAACCGGUGGGUCACUACAUAUAUUUAAAUAUUAUAUUUCAUAAUUAUUUAUAUAAGAUAUAUGAUAUAAAUUGUAAUAAAUAAUGUCAUAACAAAAGCUCAUUUAAUUUAAUUUGUUAUAAAAUAAUUAAUUCAUAUAAGAAUCAACCAAAUAUAAAGUUAUUUAUUAAUAUACCAAACUUCAAGUGUAAAAUUUUAUGUAUAUUUAGUGUAAUUAUCUAGCUUAUUUAUGAAUUUUAAGUGUAAAAAUUUAUUAAAAAUAAUAUUUGUCUUUAAAUGAAUUAUGUAAUAUGUUAUUUUUGGAAUCCAUUUUAUAACUUAUAGAGUUUGGAGGGUAAUAAAUUUUUAUUAAAAGAUUCCAAAUAAAUUUGUUUUAGAGAAAAAAAGAUAGAAUUGAAAAAACAUUUAUAUAUCAUACUAAAGCUAUUAUAUCAACAUAUUUAGAAGUGGUUUGGUGGUAAGCAAGCGGUAGUGUGAGGGCAAAGGUCGGAAGUUCGAGUCCCAACAAUAGCAAUAUAAUUUUUCCACAAAAUCCGGUUAGUGACAAAACCGGCCAAAACCGGCCGGGUUUCCGGUUUAACCCGGUUCGACCGCCGGGUCGUUGACUAAGUCAACGGUCUCUGUGCACAAACGAUCUGAUUCCAAACUCGGCCCGGUCCAAUGACCGGUCCACCGGUUUGACCGGUUCGACCGUCGGGCCGGGCCGGGUUUAAUAACUAUGCUUUCACCAUUAGAUACAUGACACAUAAUUCGAAUUUGAAUUUGAAAUCUAAAUUUUGCAUAUGUGUCGUACAUCCAACUGUGAUAGUGUAUACACUAUCAGUGUGUAUAAAAUUUACUUUUAAAAAUAACAUUAAAGUUCCCCUCUUUCUUUCUUUCUUUCUUUUUUUUUUUUUGCAAAAUUUGUUUGUUUAUCUUUCUUUACUUUUCUUUUUUAGGAAGAAUUGCAAAAUUCUUUUCUACAAUCAUACCACAUAGGAGAAACCAACAUAGGGCAGACAAUCCAUUAUGCACAAAACACAAAAUCAGUCACAAUUAGCCUAAUGUUUGUCUAAAUAAAUUAACCUCUUAUAUUGUGUUUUCUAGUAUCCAGGACCAAAUAGCAAGAAGCAAAUUAAGUAAGCUGAAUACCAAAACAUUUAGAUUAAGCUAUAAAGGAAAUGCUGGUUGCAGGAUUUUUUACUUCAACAGUGGAUUACUGCAUUUCAUCUGUUAUUCUCUGGAAGAAACUUUACAAAAACCUUAAAAAUCAUGCGAUUAAGUAACCUCAAAUCAGUGGAAUCAGAGGGUGAAAAGCCACUGAAGUUGGUGUGCUCUAGGCAGAAAUGACUUGCUCUCUCUCUCAAAAUGGAAGUUGAGAUUAUUCUCGAGCAACCACAAGCACCUGUUUCCCAACAUUGCGACCGCUGAACAGACCAACAAGGGCAGCAGGGCCAUUCUCGAGGCCUUCUGCAAUGUCUUCCACAUAGGUGAUCUUGUUUUCUCGGAUAUAAGGCAGUACAAGGUCAAGAAACUUUGGAUAUAGGUGAUAGUAUUCAUAAACUGCAAAUCCUUCCAUUCUAAUACGUUUGAAAAGAACAGAUGCCAAAUUAUGUAUUCCCUCGGGUUUAUCAAGAUUGUACUGUGAGAUCAUUCCACACACAGCAAUUCGGCUAUGCACUUUCAUGUUCAGGAGCGUCGCGUCCAAUGUCUUUCCUCCAACGUUUUCGAAGUAAAUAUCAAUUCCUUCGGGGAAGUACCUGCAAGAAAUCAAUGUAUUCUUGAUUCAGUACUGCUAGAGGCGCAGCAGCUGCUGAUUUUGCUGCAUCUAAUUAUGUUCCACCCUGAUCUCAUGUGCUAACAGAUUAGGCUAAGUAUCACACCUUGAUUGAUUUGCAAAGAAAGUGCUGAAGUGUAUAAAUUCUUUGGCUUGCAUGCUUUAGGGGAUUGUUGAGUUAGGACUUAGGACAGAAUGACAAUCUCAGAUUUAUGUCUGCAACUUCAUGUUUAUAAAAACUUCAAAACUUCUGUUUGUCCGUUUAGAAUUUCUUGAUUGCAAUAUGGUAAUUCAUAGCCCUCAAUGUUCAGCAUUUAUAAAUGAUCUUGUGGUAGCUUACGUAUGAGGAUAUGCUAUGGUUAUGGAGUACUAAAGGAAUAAGUAUCAGAAUUUGGGAACGAGAAGCUGUGAGAGUGAAAAGGAUGUCAUCAAAUUAGGCACUGGCUGACAUCUCUUUCCAGUUUAUGGCCAAAGCGGAUUCAUGAUAAAAACUCAUGAUAGUUUUGACAAUUUGUGGCGGAAACAAAAUUGGGGCACUUACACUGAACAUGUUCAUUGAAUUCUCGAGCAAAGAAUACCUACUUGGGAACCUAAUCAGAAUCUGGUCCAGCGAUGGUAGUGACCACAAAAAAAGAAGCUUCUAAUAAGGUAGAGGUUUGGAUAUGGUUACCAUGGAAAAGAAAAAAGCUCAAGCAUUGACCAGCCUAAUCCUCAAAAAGAUUCAAUUACAUUGUCAGAUUCUGCUAAUUUUGGAAAAUUUGUACCUACCUCUUCAGAGCAGCAUCCAAGUCCUGUUCUUCUUUGUAAUUGAAAGCAUCAUCGAACCCAAACUUGUUCUUCAGAAGAUCAAUCUAGUCGAUGUUAAAUGUAAGGUGGAAGUUAGUUCAAGAAUGAAAUAUAAGAGGCCAAACAAAAGUUCACUGUUCAAAUUCAAACGAACAAACAGGUAAAACUUAAUGUACCUUUGCUUUACUUCCUGCACUUCCAACUACGUAGCAGCCUGCCAACUUUGCAAACUGUCCAACAAGCUGACCGACAGCACCAGCUGCAGCAGAUAUAAAUACUUUUUCUCCCUUUUUAGGUUUGCAAACUUCAUAGAAUCCAACAUAAGCAGUCAUGCCAGGCAUGCCUUUCCAUAUACAAAAGUAUCAAUAUUAGAACAAGGAAUGGUAGGGGAGCUGAGCUUGUGUUCCAGUUUUCUAAAGGUUUCAUAGGUACUAAAGAUCAAUAGCAGCCUAUUAAGAAGAACUAAAGAUGCCCAGACUUUAAGGUCCAAUCAUCUAUAAUGAUGUCAAUCAGGUUUCUCAUGCACAAAUGCAAACUGGGGAGAAGAGAGUUGAAGAAAUUGGGAAGGAAAGAUAAGCAGUCUAGGAAAUGCAAAUUGUGAAAGACUUAUCUUCAAAUUCAUCAAGGAGCUCCUACUAUUUUUGUUUAGAAGCCAAGUUUUCAUGUUUUUUCUUUCCUUUCGCAUCUUUUGGCCCAACAAAACAUUUUUAUAUAAAAAAAUGGUUUACAUCAAUGAAUUUGUAAUCUACUGUUUGUAGUCACAGAUCCUCAAUGUCUAAGUAAACUCGACGAAAACCACGAGCUGAACCACACUGGUGAAGUGCUUUUCUGACAAAAGUUUUUCUAAGGUUUCAUUUCAUUAAUGAACAAAAGUUUGGUAAACUCUUUCUCCUUCCCUAAGUUAGCCACAGAAUAUGCUUGAAAUGUCAGGUAUCAGGACAUUACAUCCGAAUGCCAAAUGAAUAACAUGAAACAAAUAUAUAUUGUGAAACUUAAGCAAACUGCAACUUUGUCUGCACUCUGAAGCCUGCACAGGCAUACUCCCCUGAGAAGUGAGAACACAUAAAUGCAGCUCCAGUUCUCACAGUUAUAAAAGGGAUCAAAUUUGUUAGACAAUUAUCAGCUACAGCAUCUCCAUAUAACAGGAAAUAAGAGUGGAAAUUACCUAGUAAUCCAGUGUAAUGGGAAAGAGGAAUGUCUAUGUGCUCAAUCUUGAAAAGAGAAUCAGGUGCUGCUAUGAGACUGUACUCCUCCCAUCCUGUUAUACCCCAUACCAAGUCACCCUUCUUGAAUUUUGGGUGCUUUGAAUCCAGUACCUUAGAUACCGCAUACCCAUUUAUUGGCUGCAUGUUAUCAACACUAUGGUUAAUAGAUGCAAAAUUUAACUUGUGAUUUACAUCACUUACCAUAAGCAUAGAACAAAAACACAUUUGCAUCACUUCUUUUAACAUUACAGCAAGGCAUUGCAUUUGAAUAGGAUCUUCUUGUGAUUAUAACAAAUUCCAGCAAACGUGAGAAUGUUCCAAAUUGUUUCUGUGCACAAACUGGUACUCAAAAACAUUCAUGAACUUGAUUUUGUCUUUGUUUUUCAGGUAUUAGAUACAUGAAUCCAGAAACGAAGAAGUGCACCUCAAUCACCAAAGAGAAUGACACCAAGGUAUCGGAAGGUGAACUUUUUCAAAUUCAUGAAAGAUGCAAGUCAUAUUAGAGGCUUCCCUGUUCCUAAUUAACUUGAGAGAGAUCAUCAGAUGUCACUCUUUUGUUUGCUUUCUAAACAAUCCCUUCUAACAAGUCAAUUUUUCCCUUCAUCAGAAAUGACUAUAACAAGUUUGACACGAAAACUAAUCACUACACAUAAUGUCAUGCCCCGCAUCCACGAGCUAUGAACAACUUGGUGAUAGGGUGUUAAUUGUUGAUUAUUUUAUUAUUAAUUUCUCCUUUAUUCUUAUCAAAUAUUAUUUUAAUUAUUAAUAUUUACUUAUAUUUGGUAUCUGGACUAAAUUUCAGAGAAUGGAACAGAAAACUAAAAAAAUGAGGGACUUUCCACUAUAAAAUUGAGACUUCAAACAGUUGGGCCCCAUAUGAUGUUACAAGGAAGCCUUUUUCGGUUGCUGGCCCACAAGGAGAAGAAGAAACGAAUUCCUUUUCUUUGUGCUGACGGGAGUCUUUGAUUAGCAAUAGGAAACAAAAGGAGAAAAAUUCGGUAGAGAGCUUGAUCUGACGGAUUGCACCCUUUUCUCUAAAUUCGGCGGGGACCACUAGACAAAAGUAGUCUUUGUUCUAGAAUAUGAGAGCUUCGUUUUGUUUUUGUCCUUGCUAGUUCCUUCGUAUUUAGAACUAUAGCUUUGCCGUUUUCUUCUAUAAAAGGGAGGAGGACGGAAACAUAGCUGAGUUUUUUUUAGAGAAUUACUUCUGCACUUUUGCAUGGGAUUUCCUCCAUGAAGAUGAAUUAAAUCCCUUCGUCUAGUCGAGAAACAACGGAGGACUUGGUUCUACUAAAUUUGUGAGAUCGAAUUGAUUUUUAUUUAUUUUCAUUAUUCACUGGUAUUAGCCUAUCUUCUGCUUUUAUGUUCAUAUGGUUGUUUUAUUAUUCGAUUAUCCAAGACCCGGAUUCUAGAUUAAUUCAAUAACCUGAAGUCAAUUAGGGUAGUUAAAUCCGUAAUUGUUUAAUUAUUCUAAACUGGUGGCAACUGGCAUGAUUGGGUUUGUGUCAGAGAGAUAGACAGGCUAACUUAAAGAGACCCUCGUAGCGUGUUGAUUGGUUAGAAUUAGGCUCUUCUAAUUAUUCAUGCAAUUAGGGAAUUGAACUUCUAUGGUCGUACCUAGGGUUAUUUCCUGAUUAGAGAAAUAGUCAACGGUCGUACUUUGGCUAUCGACAAAUUGAGGAAGAGUUGGUUGUUUAUCGCGUGUAUGACAACUAUAACUAAUUAAUCAGAUAGUAACUGGAAUAAUCCUUGCAUCUGUGAUCGAAUUAAGUAAACCAUCUCCGAAGUUGUCUCUUGGCUAGAGUUCAUCCAUUAUUAUUUUUAGUGUGAUAAUUAGUUGUUUGAGUUGUAAUUGUUUUAUUUUAUUUUAAUUUAUUCCAAGCAAUUUAGUUACUCUCAUUUUCAAAAACCACCCAUACUUCGGACUCUAAAAGAAAUAAAUUAUCCCCAGUCCUUGUGGAUUCGACCCUGCUUAUCACUAUCUACAGAAAUUAUAUUUUAUUUAAGCAGGUAUUUAUUAUUGCACAGGUUCGACACUCUGUCACUUGGUUUAAUCAUUUGUGACUGUCUGUUAUGUCCAAAAUUUAUGAAACUAAACAAAUGUGCCCCUCAGUAUUAAUACACACACCUUUAAGUUAAAAAGUCUAAACCCCAAUGGCCAAUUCAUACCAUGAUAACAAGUACUUAAAAUAGAACAGGAAAUAAAAGCGAGAGGAAGCCAGAAUUGUAGGCUUACAGAUCCAGGAGUGUAAUGAGAGGAUCCAUCCUCGAAAGUAGAAUAUGCAGGCUUUGGCAUGAGAAGGCUCAUGUAAGGAUCGCAAGACAAGUAGAGAUUCUUAAGCAACACCCCAUUAUCUGAGCUUUCAGGAACUUCCAAGCUUAUCUUCUUGUCAGUGGCGAUGAUAAAAUCGGACUCUUUUGGGGAACCACUCACAUAGUCUUUCAAUAACACCUGCUUGUUCUUCACCAUCUCUAAUUUCUCUGCCAUUUUCCCACUAUUACUACGGUCAGGAGCACAAAUAUUCUUGAGCUGUGGUCUCUUACUACCUCUGAAAAAUAGUUUUGUGAUUGUAUGGAGCAGAAAUUUGGUGGCUCUUAUAGAAGAGAAGCAGAAAUGGUUAUGAUGCGUUUCAUGACGUCAAUGAAAUCCAGAAAAGGUCAGGAUUUGUUUUCACCUGUCAAACUUCCAAGUCUCAUGUUUUGAAAUUUUUGAUCAAUGGCUGUAUGCAUGAAUAAACCUUUGAUUAUUUGAAGAAAACUGUGUCCAAAUCAUAGCCCUUAAUUUUUCCUUAAUGUAUUGGGACCAUGGUUCGUCAUCGCAGGUUGCGGUCGUGUUACGGUCUCAAUUGUUUCGCAUCUAUCAUGGCAUAUCGAUUGAAUCGGGUGAUACGCAUAUUAUAACACAUAAAAGUUUUCAAAAAAUUUGAAAAAAUUACUAAAAUUAGAAAAUAUCAAAAAAAGACGCAAUUUGAAAAAAUAUAUCCAAAUCGACUCCGAAUUAACUCAGAUAUAUAGACCGAUACCAUGUAUCACAGAUUUAAAUCGGCCAAUAUCAGUCGAGUUAGAGCGAGCUGCCGUAGAUAUUACCAUAUUAGCGAUUUGGAAAUCGGUAUCGUACCAAUCCCCUCUGUUUCGGUUACGACUCAGCCGAUACGUAUUGGUAUCGGCCAAUAUGCUAACCAUGAUUGGGACGGCCUACUAUGAUAAAACUUGUGAUGCUGUUUGUUUAUUUAUUUAAAUAGAUAAAAUGUCAUUGCUGCUGUCAUUGAUUAAAGAGUUGUUGCCAUGGCUGAUCGCUUGAUGCAUUUUGUCACCAAAUGCAAUUUCUAGUUACAAAUACACUAAGGACGUGAGACUUUUUCUCAGUAUAUCUGAAGAUACAAUUUCAACCUUCUAUCUUCUUCAUUAUUGCAAUGUAAACAGUUAAUGAAGUUUUCUUUAAUGCAAACAGUUAAUGAAGUUGUCAAAUAUUGGCACCAAAUGCCAUGGUUCUGAUGUGUUGUGAUACAUUUGGCAUGCUUUAACAUACUUUAGGGACUCAAAUGAGACGUUAAUUAAUCAGUUCGAGCCAACUUAGGAUAAUUGACGUUCUUAAUCUGGACGGAAAAACAUCAUCUCCAUGUUAGCAGAAAAAUCCCAGCUUAUAAUUCCCACUCUUAUCCUUUUUCCCUUUUUCCUCUCUUUUACUAGCUAAUCAAAUUAAUCAAGCAUCUGCAAAGAAAUUCUGGCAUAAUGGCAACUAAACUAGCAAAUGUUGAUGUUCAGUACUGGACAAUUUUGAACCAGGGUGUCACUUCUUAUAAGACACAAUGAAUGGAUCCUCAGUCAUACUCAUAGUCACUGUCUAACACUAAUGGGUUGCUCUGGCUUGAAAUCCAGUCAGAGAGUACGCAUGAAAUAUAUGACCAAGUGAUAGGUUGCAAUUUUAUUAUUUGCCUAAAUACCUUUCAGUUUCAUAGUUAUGGGCAUUAAAUACAAAACCUGCGAGUUUCCCAUAAAGAGCUGGUCUUUUUUUUUUUUUUUUUAACUUUCACAUAUUUAAUUUAUGUUAAAUACAAAAUACACUAGUAUUCCUUUGGCCGCUAUUUAACCAGUUUUUCCUAUAAAGAGCUGGUGUGUUUUCUAUAAAGAGUUGGUACAAAAUAUACUACAAAACCUGCCAGUUUUCCAUAAAGAGCUGGUAUCUUAUGCGUUAUUUCUUUUUUUUUUUUUUUUACUUUCACAUAUUUAAUUUAUAAAUAUAAAACAUACUAGUUUUCAUAUGGCCACUAUUUAACCAAUUUUUCCUAUAAAGAGUUGGUAUGUUUCCCAUAAAGAAUUGGUACAAAACAUACUACAAAACCUGCUAGUUUUUCAUAAAGAGCUGGUAUGUUAUGUGCUAUUUAACCAAUUUUUCAUAUUUAAACAAAUUUAUGAAAAUUAAAAUAACGUAUUUGAAAGUUGCGUUAUUAUUUGGAAGAACGCAUUCGCUAGAUGUAUUUUUCACCCUUUGGGAAGAGACUUAAAAAUCGCCACCCUUUAGGAAGUUAGUUUAAAAACUCCCUAUUUUUGGGAAUUUACUCCUUGUUAACGCAGCCACUACAUUUAUUUUCUGGUAUUAAUUUUUUUAAAAUUUAUGAUUUUCUUAUGUUUUAUCAAAAAGUUAAUAACUAUUGUAGUUACAAUUAUGGAAAUGUUAAUUUAUCGCAUGUGUAAUUCUUUUAUUUUAUAAGAAUUGUUAUAUCAGGGGUAAAUUUGAAAUUUAAUUGCAUUUAAUUCUGAAACACUCAUCAAACCAAGCAUCAGGAAUUGGAAUGAUGCUAAUUCCAAUGUAUGAAUCAAACUAAAUAUUGGUUACAGUAUAUAUACUUUCACCAUUGGACAAUGUUUUGAAAAUCGGAUCGGACUGGCCGGUUCGACCGGUUGAACCGCGAACCGGCUAUGGAACCGGUCCGGUUCAAUGCCAUAGUUGACUUUACUAGAAAAUCGGUCAAGAACCGGUUGAACCGUAAAAAUCGCGAUUGAACCGGUUUUCAACCUUCUUUUUUUUUCUUUUUUUUUUUUUGCAAAAUGCAGCUAUCAAGAUUCGAACUCAAGACCUUUGUAAUAAAAAACCAAUGUAUUAACCGUUGCACCAUCACAUCUUAUUAGUUUUUUUUGAUAACUUAUUUAUAUAAAGCAAACACUCAUAUUUCUUUUUUUCAUUUUUCUUACAAAAUCUCAUCCUCUCAUGGCUCUUUCUUUUUAAUUUUCAACUAUCUCUCUCUCUCUCUCUAUUCUGUUUUUUUUUUGUCACUCCCUUUUUAAUCAAACCUCUUUAUUUUUAAUUUAUUGAUGUUUUCUUCCAUUUUUUAAUUUUGUUUUUGUCCAUUAAAUUGAAAAAAGUUAAAAAAUCAUUAUUUUUUUAACCCAAAUUAUUUAAUGCUACAACCACUCACUUUUAUCUCAUUAUUUGUUUCUUAUCAAGUUUACAUUUCUAUUUUCGAUUUUCUUGACUUCCUUCGAACUCCAAACUUCCUUUUUUAAAUUGCAAUCUCUAAAACGUAAAUUAAAAUUUAAGUUCACAAUAUCUAAAUUCUCAUAGACGUGAAUUUUGUAUAAUUUCAAAAUAUUGUGAUAUUUUUGGGUUGGAUUUAGAUAUAAUUGAAAUUGAGAUGAAAUUUAUUUGUUUUAAGUUAUAAUUUAAAAAAUUUAUUUUUAAAAAAUCCAAGUUAUUAAAAAAUAGUAAACCUUUCAUCAUAUAAAGUAUUAAAUUAAUCCAUUACAUGUCUUAUUUUGUUCAUAUAUAUAUUUAUAUAAAUAAAUUUUUAAAAAAUUCAUUGAACCGAGGUUGAAUUGUUCCGACCGGUUGAACCUCGACCCUUUCACUUCACCGGUUCAAUUAACGGUCCGAUUUUUAAAACAUUGCCAUUGGAUGCAUGACACAUAAUUCGAAUUUGAAUUUGAAAUCUAAAUUUUGCAUAUGUGUCGUACAUCCAACUGUGAUAGUGUAUACACUAUCAGUGUGUAUAAAAUUUACUUUUAAAAAUAACAUUAAAGUUUCCCUCUUUCUUUCUUUCUUUUUUUUUUUUGCAAAAUUUGUUUGUUUAUCUUUCUUUACUUUUCUUUUUUAGGAAGAAUUGCAAAAUUCUUUUCUACAAUCACACCACAUAGGAGAAACCAACAUAGGGCAGACAAUCCAUUAUGCACAAAACACAAAAUCAGUCACAAUUAGCCUAAUGUUUGUCUAAAUAAAUUAACCUCUUAUAUUGUGUUUUCUAGUAUCCAGGGCCAAAUAGCAAGCAGCAAAUUAAGUAAGCUGAAUAUCAAAACAUUUAGAUUAAGCUAUAAAGGAAAUGCUGGUUGCAGGAUUUUUUACUUCAACAGUGGAUUACUGCAUUUCAUCUGUUAUUCUCUGGAAGAAACUUUACAAAAACCUUAAAAAUCAUGCGAUUAAGUAACCUCAAAUCAGUGGAAUCAGAGGGUGAAAAGCCACUGAAGUUGGUGUGCUCUAGGCAGAAAUGACUUGCUCUCUCUCUCAAAAUGGAAGUUGAGAUUAUUCUCGAGCAACCACAAGCACCUGUUUCCCAACAUUGCGACCGCUGAACAGACCAACAAGGGCAGCAGGGCCAUUCUCGAGGCCUUCUGCAAUGUCUUCCACAUAGGUGAUCUUGUUUUCUCGGAUAUAAGGCAGUACAAGGUCAAGAAACUUUGGAUAUAGGUGAUAGUAUUCAUAAACUGCAAAUCCUUCCAUUCUAAUACGUUUGAAAAGAACAGAUGCCAAAUUAUGUAUUCCCUCGGGUUUAUCAAGAUUGUACUGUGAGAUCAUUCCACACACAGCAAUUCGGCUAUGCACUUUCAUGUUCAGGAGCGUCGCGUCCAAUGUCUUUCCUCCAACGUUUUCGAAGUAAAUAUCAAUUCCUUCGGGGAAGUACCUGCAAGAAAUCAAUGUAUUCUUGAUUCAGUACUGCUAGAGGCGCAGCAGCUGCUGAUUUUGCUGCAUCUAAUUAUGUUCCACCCUGAUCUCAUGUGCUAACAGAUUAGGCUAAGUAUCACACCUUGAUUGAUUUGCAAAGAAAGUGCUGAAGUGUAUAAAUUCUUUGGCUUGCAUGCUUUAGGGGAUUGUUGAGUUAGGACUUAGGACAGAAUGACAAUCUCAGAUUUAUGUCUGCAACUUCAUGUUUAUAAAAACUUCAAAACUUCUGUUUGUCCGUUUAGAAUUUCUUGAUUGCAAUAUGGUAAUUCAUAGCCCUCAAUGUUCAGCAUUUAUAAAUGAUCUUGUGGUAGCUUACGUAUGAGGAUAUGCUAUGGUUAUGGAGUACUAAAGGAAUAAGUAUCAGAAUUUGGGAACGAGAAGCUGUGAGAGUGAAAAGGAUGUCAUCAAAUUAGGCACUGGCUGACAUCUCUUUCCAGUUUAUGGCCAAAGCGGAUUCAUGAUAAAAACUCAUGAUAGUUUUGACAAUUUGUGGCGGAAACAAAAUUGGGGCACUUACACUGAACAUGUUCAUUGAAUUCUCGAGCAAAGAAUACCUACUUGGGAACCUAAUCAGAAUCUGGUCCAGCGAUGGUAGUGACCACAAAAAAAGAAGCUUCUAAUAAGGUAGAGGUUUGGAUAUGGUUACCAUGGAAAAGAAAAAAGCUCAAGCAUUGACCAGCCUAAUCCUCAAAAAGAUUCAAUUACAUUGUCAGAUUCUGCUAAUUUUGGAAAAUUUGUACCUACCUCUUCAGAGCAGCAUCCAAGUCCUGUUCUUCUUUGUAAUUGAAAGCAUCAUCGAACCCAAACUUGUUCUUCAGAAGAUCAAUCUAGUCGAUGUUAAAUGUAAGGUGGAAGUUAGUUCAAGAAUGUAUUCUAGUCGAUGUAUUCUUUGUAAUUAAAUGUAUUCUUGAUUCAGUACUGCUGGAGGCUCAGCAGCUGAUUUUGCUGCAUCUGAUUAUCUGGUACUCUGAUCUCAUGUGAUAACUAAGGCCAGGGAUCCGGCCUUGAUUGAUCUAGGAGGAAACUGCCUAACUGUUUCAAAUCUUUGCAUUGAAGACUUUUGAGUUAGGAUAGAACGAUAUUCUUUGAUUGAUUUCUACCAUUUCCUGCUUAUAAAACUUCAACAUUUCUGUUUGUCCUUUGGCAUUUCUUGGUUGCAAUGUCGUAAUUCACAGCCUUCAAUGUUGAGCGUAAAAAUGAUCUUGUGGUAGCUUAGAUAUGAGGAUAUGUUAUGGUUAUGGAGUACUUAAGAUAUGAGUUUCAGAAUUUGGGAACAAAAGCUGAUGUUGGCCAUUGUUGUCCGGGAUAUGGCAACAUAGAUGGAAGGAGAAGCUAUGUGAGUAAAGAGGAUACCAUCAAAUCAGGCACUGGAUGACAUCUCUUUCCAGUUUAUGGCCAAAGCAGAUUCAUUAUAAAAACUCGCGAUGGUUUUGACAAUUUGACGGGGAAAAAAGGUUGGGGCACUUCACUAAAUAUGUUCACCGCAAAGAAUACCCACUUGGGAACCUGAUCAGAAUCAGGUGCAGUGAUGAUAGUAACCACAAACAAAGAACCUUCUGAUAAGGAAAAGGUUUGGAUAUGCUUACCAUGGAAAAGAGAAAAGCUUAAUUAUUAAGCAAUCCAAUCCUCAAAAUUUGGAAAAAUUUAUACAUACCUCUUCAGAGCAGCAUCAAGGUCCUGUUCUUCUUUGUAAUUGAAAGCAUCAUCAAAUCCAAACUUGUUCUUCAAAAGAUCAAUCUAGUCAUGUUAAAUGUAAGGUGGAAGUUAGUUCAAGAAAGAAAUAUGCAUUGCUAAACAAAAGUUCUCUGUUCAAGUUCAAACGAACAAACAGGUAAAACUUAAUGUACCUUUUGUUUACUUCCUGCACUUCCAACCACAUAGCAGCCUGCCAAUUUUGCAAACUGUCCAACAAGCUGACCGACAGCACCAGCUGCAGCAGAUAUAAAUACUUUUUCUCCCUUUUUAGGUUUGCAAACUUCAUAGAAUCCAACAUAAGCAGUCAUGCCAGGCAUGCCUUUCAAUAUACAAAAGUAUCAAUAUUAGAACAAGGAAUGGUAUGGGAGCUGGUGUUCCUGUUUUCUAAAGGUUUUAUAGGUACUAAAGAUCUAUAGCAGCAUAUUAAGAAGAAUUAAAGAUUCCCAAACUUUAAGAUCCAAUCAUCUUAUAAUGAUGUCAAUCAGGUUUCUCAUGCACAAAUGCAAACUGGGGGAGAAGAGAGGUGAAGAAAUUAGGAAGGAAAGAUAAGCAGUCUAGGAAAUGCAAAUUGUGAAAGACACAUCUUCAGAUUCAUCAAGGUGCUCCUACUAUUUCCGUUUAGAAGCCAAGUUUUCAUGUCUUUCUUUCCUUUCGCAUCUUUUGGCCCAACAAAACAUUUUUAUCUAAUAAAUGGUUUUGCAUCAGUGAAUUUGUAAUCUACUGUUUGUAGUCACAGAUCCUCAAUGUCUAAGUAAACUCGACGAAAACUACGAGCUGAACCACACUGGUGAAAUGCUUUUCUGACAAAAGUUUUUCUAAGGUUUCAUUUCAUUAAUGAACAAAAGUUUGGUAAACUCUUUCUCCUUCCCUAAGUUAGCCACAGAAUAUGCUUGAAAUGUCAGGUAUCAGGACAUUACAUCCGAAUUCCAAAUGAAUAACAUGAAACAAAUAUAUAUUGUGAAACUUAAGCAAACUGCAACUUUGUCUGCACUCAGAAGCCUGCACAGGCAUACUCCCCUAAGAAGUGAGAACACAUAAAUGCAGUUCCAGUUCUCACAGUUAUAAAAGGGAUCAAAUUUGUUGGACAAUUAUCAGCUACAGCAUCUCCAUAUAACAGGAAAUAAGAGUGGAAAUUACCUAGUAAUCCAGUGUAAUGGGAAAGAGGAAUGUCUGUGUGCUCAAUCUUGAAAAGAGAAUCAGGUUCUGCUAUGAGACUGUACUCCUCCCAUCCUGUUAUACCCCAUACCAAGUCACCCUUAUUGAAUUUUGGGUGCGUUGAAUCCAGUACCUUAGAUACCGCAUACCCAUUUAUUGGCUGCAUGUUAUCACCACUAUGGUUAAUAGAUGCAAAAUUUAACUUGUGAUUUACAUCACUUACCAUAAGCAUAGAACAAAAACACAUUUGCAUCACUUCUUUUAACAUUACAGCAAGGCAUUGCAUUCGAAUAGGAUCUUCUUGUGAUUAUAACAAAUUCCAGCAAACAUGAGAAUGUUCCAAAUUGUUUCUGUGCACAAACUGGUGUUCAAAAACAUUCAUGAACUUGAUUUUGUCUUUGUUUUUCAGGUAUUAGAUACAUGAAUCCAGAAACGAAGAAGUGCACCUCAACCACCAAAGAGAAUGACACCAAGGUAUCGGAAGGUGAACCUUUUCAAAUUCAUGAAAGAUGUAAGUCAUAUUAGAGGCUCCCCUGUUCCUAAUUAACUUGAGGGAGAUCAUCAGAUGUCACUCUCUUUUUACUUUCUAAACAGUCCCUUCUAACAAGUCAAUUUUCCCUUCACCAGAAAUGACCAUAACAAGUUGACACGAAAACUAAUCACUACACAUAAUGUCAUGCCCCGCAUCCACGAGCUAUUAAUACUUUGGUUUAAUCAUUUGUGACUGUCUGUUAUGUCCAAAAUUUAUCAACCUAAACAAAUGUGCCCCUCAGUAUUAAUACACACACCUUUAAGUUAAAAAGUCUAAACCCCAAUGGCCAAUUCAUGCUAUGAUAACAUGUACUUAAAAUAGAACAGGAAAUAAAAGCGAGAGGAAGCCAGAAUUGUAGGCUUACAGAUCCAGGAGUGUAAUGAGAGAAUCCAUCCUCGAAAGUAGAAUUUGCAGGCUUUGGCAUGAGAAGGCUCAUGUAAGGAUCGCAAGACAAGUAGAGAUUCUUAAGCAACACCCCAUUAUCUGAGCUUUCAGGAACUUCCAAGCUUGUCUUCUUGUCAGUGGCGAUGAUAAAAUCGGACUCUUUUGGGGAACCACUCACAUAGUCUUUCAAUAACACCUGCUUGUUCUUCACCAUCUCUAAUUUUUCGAGAAAUUUCUAAGUUUGUGAUGAAUUUUAAAAAAAUUCUACAAAAGGGGUGACUGUGGCGAGGAAUUCUGUCGGAGGGGUCUUCGCAUUCGUGAAAUGCGAGCUCUCCUGAGCUCGCAUUUCACGAAUGCGAGCUCUGUUGAGAGCUCGCAUUCCUGGAAUGCGAGCUCUCAAUUGCUCGCAUUACAGAGAUGCAAAUUUUUUUGCUUUUUUUUUUUUGGAGGCAGAGAUUUAUAUUUUUGAAUUAAAACAAAAAAGGAUUUUGACAAUCAGUGAUUCCGGAAAUGGGCUGUACCAUCCUGUCAGUAGGUUCCUUGUUUCUUAUGACAAAAUUCAAGCCUGAACUGGAUGUCGGAGACGCCCAACGUAUUAAUAGUUCAUUUCCUGUUGAGAUGUUCCAUGAAGCUUGCCACUCCUCAGGUGGUUCUUGAGGUGUUGCAGUGCCUACAACUUUCUCUGCACUAGAUGACAAUUGCAUGUAAAAUAAGCACGGAGGUUGAGAAGGAAACAGCAUAACUGAAGAAUCAAAACAGGUGGAAGCAGUGAGAAAGAGCUACAUUAAAGCACAUACCAGGGGCUUUGCCGAUCGAACUAGAAACGUAGGACCAAGAACCUUCACGAAUCUCUAUGAUCCUGUCCUCCCAUUUAACAGCUGAAGGUGUUUUGCCUCCUCUCCUCCAAAAUCCUCCUCCCAUCCUGGAUCAUUCUUAAUCAUUUGAAACUCAGCAUACUGAAUAAAGCAGACACAAAUCACUGAGCUCGCAUUUCCGGAAUGCGAGCUCAGUGAGCUCGCAUUUCCGGAAUGCGAGCUCAGUGAGCUCGCAUUCUCAAAAUGCGAAGACCCCCAUUUACAGAAGCCCCUCCAGGAAACGCCCUCGUUGUAGAAUUUUUUUUUUUUUUUCAUCAUAAACUAAGAAUUCACCCUAAUUUUUCUGCCAUUUUCCCACUAUUACUAUGGUCAGGAGCACAAAUAUUCUUGAGCUGUGGUCUCUUACAACCUCUGAAAAAUAGUUUUGUGAUUGUAUGGAGCAGAAAUUUGCUGGCUCAUAUAGGAGAGAACCAGAAAAGGUUAUGAUGUGUUGCAUGACGUCAAUGAAAUCCACAAAUGGGCAGAAGUUGUUUUCACCGGUCAAACUUCCAAGUCUCAACUUUUUAAAAAUUUGAUCAAUGACCAACCGUAUGCAUGAAUAAACCUUUGAGUAUUUUAAGAAGACUGUGUCCAAAUCAUAGCCCUUAAUUUUUCCUUAUAUGUAUUGGGACCAUGGUCGCGUUACGGUCUCGGCUGUUCCACGUCCAUUACGACAUAUCGAUUGAAUAUCGAAUGAUAUGUAUGUUAUAACACAUGAAAGUUUUUAAAAAAUCUGAAAAAAUUACUAAAAUUAGAAAAUACCAAAAAAGACAUAAUUUGAAAAAAUAUAUCCAAAUCGAUUCCGAGUUGACUUAGAUAUAGAGACCGUACCAUGCAUCACAGAUUCAAAUUGGCCAAUAUUAGUUGAGUCAGAGCGAGCCGCCGUAGAUAUUAUCAUAUUCGCGAUUCGGAAAUCGGCAUCGUACCAAUCCCCUCUAUUUCGGUUACGACUCGGCCGAUACGUAUUGGUAUCGGCCAAUAUUGUUAACCAUGAUUGGUACGGCCUACUAUGAUAAAACUCGUGAUGCUGUUUGUUUAUUUAUUUGAAUAGAUAAAAUGUCAUUACUGCUGUCAUUGAUUAAAGAGUUGUUGCCAUGGCUGAUAGCUUGAUGCAUUUUGUCACCAAAUGCAAUUUCUAGUAACAAAUACACUAAGGGCGUGAGACUUUUUCUCAGUAUAUCUGAAGAUACAAUUUCAACCUUCUAUCUUCUUCUUUAUUACAAUGUAAACAGUAAUGAAGUUUUCUUUAAGGGAAAAUUACAUUUUACCCCCCUAUAGUUUAGUAUUUUUAUAUAUAACCGCCCUAUAAUUUCAAAAACUAUACACAACUCCUUUAUGGUUUGGAUUAAAGUGUCAAAGUGACGGAAAUGAUCAAAUCGUUACGAAAUCUUUAAAAAUAUUGAAAUUAUCCUUGUUUAAAAAUUAAAAUGGUUGAAGUGACCAAACUAUAUAAAUCUAAUAUAUAUGACACACUAACCCCGUAUGGAUUUAUAUUUUAUCAUAUAAUCCCCUUAUAAUUUAAUGCUUUACCAUAUAACCCCUUAUGAUUUUCAAAAUAUACAUAUAACUCUUCUGUGGUUAAUAAAUAAUUUUCAACUUUAUAUAAAGGUAUUUUUGACAUUUUAGAUAACUCCGUUAAUAAAUUGCAAAUUCUGUUACUUUGACACUUUAAUCCAAACUAUGAGGGAAUCAUGUAUAACUUUUGAAAUCAUAGGAGAGUUAUGUACAAAAACACUAAAUCAUAGGGAAAUAAAGUGUAAUUUACCCUUUCUUUAAUGCAAAGAGUUGUCAAUUGGAAUCUACCUCCCCCAGUAUUAAUUAGGAGAAAGGCAAUCUCUAGGAAAACAAAUCAUUAUAUCUUUGACCCGAUGAUGAACAGUAUAAUAAACGAAGCACCAAAUUAGCCAUUGCAUGCUCAAACAUGUAUGUGUUGUGAUACAUUUAGCCAAGAUUGACCAAAAAAAAUUAUACGAUCCAAAUUUUAUCUUGUACCUUUGUUUUUAAUAACAUGUGUGGGAUUCACAAAAUUUUAUUCUAAAAUUAUACAUUAUUAAAAGUAAGUUAUACCAUAUACAAACAGAGUUACGCCGUGUGCAAAAUACACAUAACCUUCAGGAAUGGUUGCACCUGCAACCGUUACUGCCUCUGGUCCUUUGACUUGAAAUCCAGUCAUUGUUGCUUGGAUAUGCAGUGACCUAUAUUGCUUUAAAGUUGUUGAAAAAAAAAAAAGAAAAGAAGGCGGCUUAUGAUGGUUACUAGCCAAAAUCUUUUACCCUAAAGGAUUGCAGAAAUCAUUCAUGGGCAACUGCAACUAGUUGUUUCCCAACAUUGCGACCGUUAAAGAGACCUAUAAGGGCUGCAGGGCCAUUUUCAAGCCCUUCAACAAUGUCUUCCACAUAGGUUAUCUUCUGCUUUCGGAUGUCAGGCAGUACAAAGUCCAAAAACCUCGAGUGAAGGUGUAAGUACUCGAAAACAGUAAAUCCUUCCAUCCGGACGCGUUUGUAUAGAUGCCAGGCUAUAUUGCUUACACUUUCAGGUUGUUCAAGAUUGUAUUGUGAGAUCAUUCCACAAACAGCAAUUCGACCGUGCUUUCUCAUGUUUAGAAGUACUGCAUCCAGCAUUCUUCCUCCAACAUUCUCGAAGUAGAUGUCAAUCCCAUCAGGGAAGUACCUGAGUAAACAAAUUGCUAUUAUCUUUAAUGGCACUCAGCAGUCCUAGAAAAGAUGAACCAUGAAAUAUAAAACCAAAAUGUGAGAGAAGAACCCUCACUAGGAAAAGGAUACAAGAUAUGCUUUUAAAAUUCCAAUGAAUAAACAAGAGACUGUAUCCAAAAAGGGCCGGCUGUGUCCACUUGUUCUCAUUCUGUUCCCUUUCUGAUAACAGCCGAUCAGAAAAUGAUGUUUUUGUUAUUGCAAUCAUUAUGCAUUGCCAACCGCAGCAUGCAGCAUUCAAGUUAUUAUCUACCCUUCUCUCUGUUUUUUCACAAGAACUCGGCGAAGACAUCAAUUCCGUAAGCACUUCGAUAUACGAUGAAGCUUCAUUGACACAACUAGGUUAGAAGUUAAUCCCAAGAUGAAUAAGCACCUUUUCAAAGCAGCAUCCAAGUCGUGCUCCUCCUUAUAAUUGAAAGCAUCAUCAAAUCCAAACUUGUUCUUCAGAAGGUCAACCUUGACAAAUUGGAUCAGUGAUGCAAACAAGAAUUAGUUGAUCAGGUUAAACGAGCUAAUAAAGGUCACAAACAUACGUCUGAACCCUGAAGUGCAGCAGAUCAGAUAAGCCUGCCAGUGAUUGUCCGAAAGUGCUCAAACAGAGUUGUGAGGUUCAUGUUCAUUUUACUUCCAUAUAUAAUAUUCCGUUGAAUAUUUGAGGCCAUUUACCUUUUCUUUGCUUCCAGCACUUCCAACAACAUAACAUCCCAUAGAUUUUGCAUAUUGUCCCACAAGCUGACCAACUGCACCAGAUGCUGCCGAUACAUAUACUCUUUCUCCUUUCUUGGGAUUGGAGACUUCAUAGAAUCCAACAUAGGCUGUAAGACCAGGCAUCCCUUCAUAAGAAGAAGAAACUAGGUUUUGAAUGCCAUAUAUUGUGAAAAUUUACUGCAGCUAGGUUCAUCAAGAUUCCCAAAAGUCUAGAGUGAUCUUGAAAUCUUUCUUUUAAACACAAAGUUAAGUGCAAUCAAGAUUUUAAUAUAUAUAUAUAUAUAUAUAUAUAUAUAUAUAUAUAUAUAUUUAUGUUGUCCCAAUGUGCAUCGAGAUUUGAGCUAAUUCAUUCACCAACUCAAAAAUAAAAUAAAAUAAAAUAAAUGAAGUACUAGGAACUCUACAGGGUUUUUUCCCCCUCUGUUACUUCUAAAUCCUUGAAUUUCUCGACAAGGCCUGUAAAAGUACAUUCUUUCUCCUUAACAGGAUCAAAUUGGCAAACAUGCUGACACAACAAAAAGCACCUGCUAUAAAAUCAACACCACUUACAGAGCCAGGCUUGCAAGGAGGGAUGGAAGUUCUCCUAGGAGACUCGGGCUUUCUCAUUAGACCAUGCAUGGUAGGAUCGCAUGACAAGUAGAGAUUCCUGAGCAAAAUCCCAUUUGAGUUUUCUGGGAUUUUCAAGCGUAUUAUGUUGCAAGUGCUGAUAAUCAUGUCUGAUUCUUUUGGGAAACCAUUUAAGUAGUCUCUAAGCAGCACCUGCUUGUUCUUCACCGUCUCUGCCUUUUCUUCUGCCAUCGCAGAAGUUCAGUGGUGCUCAAUACAAUAGUGUCUUUUUUCCACUUUUUUGUCGCUCUGAAAACUAGCAACUAUUGGGAAGCUUUGCUUCUUCAAAUAUGUUUCUGGGAUUGGAAUAGUCAAAUAAGUCUUGAGCUUUCUAUAAUCUAUAUCAAUCAUUGUACAAUUACAAGGGAGCAUCGUUUGAUCGUCACAGCUGACUUCAUUAUCUAAGAUUAACAUCUGGAAAGUAAAUAGUAAAAGCAUCACUUUUCACAUGCCACUCAGUCAAUGUUCAGCAUGGGAAUUUUAGUUCAUCUUUUCUUGAUUUUAGUCAAAAUCAAAUCAUUAAUUGGUUCUUGCAAAUCCAACUUAAAGAGGCUAAGCCCCACAGAUAGUUUAGUGGUAAGCGAACUCUUUGGACUUUUUUGGUCCUAAGUUUGAAUCUAACCUUGGAUUUGAACCCUCGUGACUUAUGUUGGGGUGCGUCAUGUAGGACCGUGGCGUAUCUCGUGAUUUGAUGUGUCAGCUAGGUCCAAAGUGAUUUGAAUCAGGGCAUGUUGAGAGUCACAAAAAAAAGAAAAAAUUAGGAGGCCGAGACUUGACAGCAGCCAAAUUACCUCGUAUCCAUGAAUUUAUCCACAAUCAUGGAAAGAUUCAGAGACUGUAAACCAUACCACUUAGACAUUAGGGAAGGGCGCCUUUCUGGAUAAGCUUCACUACUAUUUACAACGACUGGUAAGGUACCAUUAACUAAAAUUUGUUUUAGGGUAAAUUACAUAUUACCUCCCAUGGUUUUGCAUAAUGCUAGAUAACCUCCUAUGGUUUCAAAAUAGCCAUGUAACCUCCCAUUGUUUUAUGUAAAGUGAAAAAUGGUCAGAGUGCAUAAUCAGUUAUAACGAUUAAACCACAAACUCUCUAAAAGUACAUGUGAUGAAAUAAUAAUAUCCACUUAAAUCUUUUACUCCCUUCGUCCCACUUUGAUAGUUCCAUUUCUUUUUUCACACAGUUUAAGAAAAAGUAGUUAACUUUGUUGGAAAAGUAAAUUUAGAUUGCUAUUUUCCUAAAAUACCCUCACAUUAAAUAUGGUACAACUUUAUGAGAACUUGAAUUGAUGGUAAAAAAAGAAUCAACUCUCAUUAAAUGGAGUAGGUUUAUAGUAACAACAACUUACAUUGAAUAAGGAUAUUUUAGGAAAAUUAAAAUAUAACUACAUUGUUCAAUUGAAAAGUGGACUACAAUUUGGAACAGACGAAAAAGGAAAACGAGGCUAUCAAAGUGGGACGGAGAUAGUAUAAUUUGCAUAAAUAUCCGCAUUAGCCUUUGUGGGUUUUGCAUUUAUCCACGUAAUUUCUCUAUGAUUUUGUACAAAGUGGCUGCGUCGUUGUUUGAUUUAACAUUUAAGUAAGGGCGGUGAAAUCAUAAUAUUUUAACUAAUGACAUUACAUAAACUAUUUUUUGUUAAAUUUUCAGUUUACAUGAAAUCAUAGGGGGGUGAAAUCGAUAUUUUAGAACGUUCGGAAGUUAUAUGACAAUAGAUGAAACUACAAGAGGGUUAUUAGUGAUUUACUCUUUGUUUAAUGAUGCAUGCCAGUUUUACACCGGAAAGUCUGACCAAGAAGCAAUUCAAGAGUUUUCCAGCUUGUGAAUCUCUAAGAAAAAGAGACGACUGCACAGGUCGUAAAAGUACUUAUUCAGUAUAACCAGAUACGAAUACAAAAUUUUACAAGUAGCCCAUCUGAAUUCUAGAAUAGAACCCUCAGAAUCCGGGCAAUAUAGCCUGAGCAGAGUUUAUUACUACUACAAUUAGAACUAAUAAGUGAGGGGAAAACAUGGAACAGGGGCUGGAAUGGUUCCAGAAUGGAACUGCAGGUCAUUCACGAGCAACAACAACUAGCUGUUUCCCAACACUGCGGCCAUUGAAGAAAUCUAUAAGGGCUUUAGGACCAUUUUCAAGACCUUCAAUAAUGUCUUCAACAUAGGUUAUCUUUUUCUCGCGGACGUGAGGCAAUAUAGUGUCCAAAAACUUUGAGUAUUGAUGGUAAAAAUCAAACACAGAAAAUCCUUUUAUGUAUACUCGCUUGUAAAUAAUCCACAUCAUAUUGGAUACUCCUUCAGGUUUGUCAGAGUAGUACUGUGAGAUCAUUCCACAAGCAGCAAUUCGACCAUUCAUUCUCAUGUUGAGGAGCACAGCAUCUAGCAUCUUUCCUCCAACAUUUUCAAAAUAGAUAUCAAUCCCUUCAGGGAAGCACCUAAAAGAGAGAAAAGAUACUAAAUCCUUAAUAAGUUGAAUCAUUGAUGUAGCCUGGUCCAAAUCAAGCUUCAUUCAGAGGUUUAGCCAGAUUAGAUGGACUCAGUUGAGGCCAAACUGAAUAGAUACCUUUUCAGAGCAGCAUCCAAGUCGUGUUCUUGCUUGUAAUCGAAAGCAUCAUCAAAUCCAAACUUGUUCUUGAGAAGAUCAACCUUUUCAAAUUUUUAAAAAUGUAUGUGCAAGGUUAGAAUGCUUCCAGAAGUAAUAUAGUUCUUUGGGGAAGAGAUCAAUUGUAAAGAGCCAAAAGAGACGUUAAUAUUAUCAGUAUCAGGCAAACCAAGGGAGGCAAUUCACCUUUUCUUUGCUUCCAGCACUUCCAACAACAUAGCAACCUAACAAUUUUGCAAAUUGUCCAACGAUCAGACCAACUGCCCCGGAUGCUGAAGAUACGAAAACCUUUUCUCCUUUUUCUGGUUUGCAAACCUCAAAGAAUCCAGCAUAGGCAGUAAGACCAGGCAUACCUUUAUAAUUUUUUCGAAAGGCAUUAGAUUCAGUCCAAAAUGAACUAAAGCAAUUGCAGCAGCAGCUAUAGAAAUAUGCACAUUGCCGAAAAGAUUUUUUAAGUAUGGUACUUACCGAGCAGUCCAAUAUAGUAGGAAAGAGGUACAUCAGUAUGCUCAAUCUUGAAAAGAGAGUCAGGUUCUGCUAUGGGACUGUAUUCUUCCCAUUGUGUUAUACCCCAUACCAGAUCACCUUUCUUGAAGUUUGGAUGCCCUGAAUCCACUACUUUGGCAACCCCAAACCCAUUUAUUGGCUGCACGUUAUAGCAAUAUGAUCAAUCAAUGCAAAAUUAAAUCUCCAGAUAUGCCACUCAUGUCAUCACAACUCAUAACUAGCAUGAUAAGCAAAGAUUAAGCACUUGUGUUCAUAUUUCAUGCCCCUCAAACCAUUCACAUUGACAAGACAUUUCUUUCAAAAUAAGCACAGAAAAAUUGGAAAGGAGAAAGGAAAUAUUUUCAAGAAACAGUACAUACUGAGCCAGGGGUGUAAGGAAUAAAGCCAGUUUUACUACGAGCAGGCUGAGACACUUGCAUGAAACGGCGCAUAAACGGGUCACUUGACAGGUACAGAUUCUUAACCAGCACUCCAUUUGAUCCUUCUGCCACUUUCAAGCUUAUAGUGCUGUCGGUGCUGAUGAUCAUAUCUGAUUCUUUGGGGAAAUCACUAACAUAAUCUCUCAGCAGCACCUGCUUGUUCUUCACUAUCUCAACUUCUGCCAUUGCUCAAUUAUUACUCUGCUACUGCUCAAUAUUUUGGUUAAUGUGUUUCUUGCAAAGCUUUGCCUCCUUUAUAUACAGUAUUUCAAAAGGAAGAGAUAUUGGGUGAGGCUAAUCUUUUUGGAGGCAAGGCAAAAGCAAAAUUCAAUUGAUGGCAGGUCCUUGCAAGAAAAAUUAGUUUAACUAGUCAAAUAAGAAUAGUCCAAGAUGACAUUAACAUCAUGCAUGACAAAAAAAAAAAAAGUAGCACAAAUCAUAAGUUAACAACUUGAAAAGAAAAAAAAAAACAAAUGUGUUUGUCUUCAUCAAAUCAACGUCAUUUAUGCCAUCAUCUUCAUCCAACGCAUCUAUACUAGGCAAUCUUGCUUUAGUAAUCAUAGGUUUUGAUAUUCUCCACUGCUUGCUCAUCUUUCUUUAACAGUGUAAUCAUAGUUGGCAAUCCAUGUAACCGAUCUAGAUUCUCUACAAUCACAAUAGUGGGAUUGCAGAGAACAGCUCAUGGUGGAAGACGGAUAAUUUUGAAUUUGGAUGGCUAGGAUUAAAUGCUGGACGCGAUAAAUAAUAAAAUUUGAUGUUUUAUUACAUAUUUACAUGUUGCGUUAGUGUUUGUGAUUUUAGUAAAGGGAAAAUCAUUUAAAGGAUUUUAUCAAAUGAAUUUUUUCAUCCUUUAUUUUAAAAUGGCAACUUUACAUCCCUUAUAAAAUCAAGUCGAUAAAAUUUAGUUUUAACCUAAGUUUUUUUAUCACUUUUUACCCUGAAUCAACACAUGGGGUCUUUUUUGAAGCAAAAACGUUAGAUCUCAUUUGUAGUUAAACAGAAAAUGAUCCGAUCAAUAUUUAUUUUUUUCCCCAAAAGAAGUAGAAUUUGAUCUAAACCAUACUAAUUUUUUUUCCCUAAAAAAGUGAGAUCUGAUACAUUUUAUAUUCAUUUCUGUUACUAAAAGGUUGGGAGCCGACCUUUUUGUAUAUAAAAAAUAAUUGCAUAUGGGUCACGUGGUGAUUUCAGACCAAAAAGUAAUUGAAAAUUUAGAUUGCGACUAAAUUUUACUAACUUGAAUUUAUAAAGAACAUAAAAUUAACAUUUUAAAUAAAAAGAUGAAAAAAUUCGUUUCGCAAAAUAUGAGAGAUGAUUUGAAUGAUUUUCUCUUUUAUAAAUUUGCUGUAUCAAUAUCUAUAUUGCAAUUGGUCCUAAAUCCCUUGGUACUUGAGCAACUAGUCAAACAGGUUCCUUCCAAAUAGACUUGUCGUCUCAAUGCAACAUAUAUACUGUUGGAAACUUUUCAAAAUUUGUAUGAUGUACAUACAUGAAAUUAAUGUGUAUUCAUUGAUUUUUGGUACAUGUAUAGUAUUGUGAAUGUUUCUAAAAUGUACAUUCAUUUAUGAAUGUAUUCAUGUAUAUGGGAAUUAUUGAAUGAAAGGAUAGAUUCAUGUUUUGAUCUAAUGAUCAUGAGAUGCAUGAAUUAAAGUGCAUGAAUGUGUACACAAUACUUUGAAUCUAUUCAUACACAAUACUUUGAAUCUGUUCAUACAAGUGUUUAAUGAGAUCCUUUAUUUCCCAAACAAUCUUCCUAUAUAAAGAGGUCAAGUAGAGAGUGGUUUGCGGCAGAAAAUCACUUUCCUACUAUCCUUACUCUCUCAAAAGCACUCCUUAGUUCACAAAGGGUUUGUCUUGCUUUGUGCAAGAGUGAAAGACAAACAAAACUUCAUCUUAUCCUAAAGGAUAUUUGUCCAAGGUUAUUGCACGUUAUACCGGACAAAUAAAGCCUAAAGGAAAGUGAUUUCUAUCGCGAUUUGAAGCCAAUUCUUGUCACAAUAUUUGCCAAUUCUUUGCUUUUUACCCAACAUAUACGACACAUUACAAAUUUGAAAUUUAAGAAACUAAAGACUUGUGUGAUAAAGUUUGAUCUUUGAUACUAAAAUUCUAAACAAAAUUGAAUACUAAGAAACUAAAAGACUUGCUUGAUAAAGUUGACCUUUCAGCAUGAGCCAACCUGAGAUUAUGGACAUUAUUCAUGCCUGUUACAGGAUGCUCUUUCAUAAAUUUCGGCUCGCGUAGGAGGAGAAAAUUGACCAUACAUAUACAUGUGUAACUUGGAGUUAUGGAACUCUGAAUAUCCAAAACAUGCAUCAUUUGGAGUUAUAGAGUGUGCGGUGUACAGUAUUUGCUGUUAAAGAAUCGCAUUGGACAAAAAAAAAAAAAAAAAGGCGUUUCUUGAAAAGUUAAUCUCGGUUUGUCUUUGAAUUACUAGUAAUAAGUCAUCUGCUUUACACGUGAUUAUAAGGUCACAAAAUAUAAUAUCACUUAUGCAUAUAAAUAUUUUUGUGAAAUUUUAAUUGUAACAUCGUAAUUUAAUAUUUUCUUAUUUUCAUCUUCUUAAUCAAUUGUCUUAAAAAUGUUAUUAUAAUUUGAAAGAGAUAAAUGUACAUCUCAAGUGUGAGAGCACCAAAUAGGGUUUAUAAAUACUUAUAAAGUAAAGGUCUAAGCUAUAAUGUCAAAAUCUAGAGGAACAUUUGCGUCAAUAUAUGAAAUUCACUAAUACUUAUAAAAUAAAGGUUUAAAUAAUAAUAAUACAAUAUUUAGAAUUCGUAUAUUUUCCAAACACUUGAAACUUCCUAGCUCAAAAUUUUGGAAUAUACUCAGCCUUGAAAAUUUUAAGAAUUUAUGCACCAAUCAUUGUACUAGUCUUUGAUUUCAACUUUUGACAUUAAACAUUACCAUGAGAUAUUAGGAUUUAUUAACUUGCUAACAAAUAAAUGGAGAAAAAAAUAGAGAAAUGGAGGAUGACAAAGUAACAAAUAGUACUCAAGGUUUUUUUUUUUUUUUCUUGGUCAGAACUUUCAUCUUACUGUUCAAUCCAAUCCUCCACAAUCAGGACUUAACCUAAUUAAUAAUAAUCAACAUAAAAAAAAAAACUUUUGAAAAUUUUUUAUAGUCGGCGAAACGGGGCCACACGAACAAGUAAUGAUUGGCCAUAAUAAGUCAGAUGAUCACAAAAAUUUAGACACGUAAACAUGGGCUUCAAUUUAUAAAUACUACAAAAAUUGACCUAAGCAUAGCUUUCCAUCAUAUUUAAGGUUAUCUUGCUAUGAGCUAGUAGUGGUCAUUGGGUCCAUCCUGAUUUUCUGGUUUUGUAAGCAAGCAAUAAUUACGAUGGAUUGAGAUUAUCUCCGAAUUAAUAAAGCUCCUCAGCCACCUUCUCGUAAUAAUAAAAAUAUACGCAAAAUGUGACACUUGUUGUGUGAUGCAUUGGAUGGUCGGCACUUUCAGGGUUUUGACACUUGUUGUUCUCCCUAAAUCUGAUUUAAUUCAUUUUUCAAAUAGCCACGCCAAAAUCAUUGACACAAAACACAAACGAUAAAAGCCCCUUAGGACAAAGGGAUUUGUGCAAGCAUGGAUUGGCCUUUUAGACGCCUCGGAAAGGUCAUCUACCAGUAACAAAUACUCCUUCCGUCCGUCCGUCCCACUUUGAUAGUCAUGUUUCUUUUUUCACAUAGUUUAAGAAAAAGUACUCCCUCCGUCCCACUUUGAUAGUCCUGUUUUCCUUUUUUGUCUGUCCCAAAUUGCAGUCCACUUUCCAAUUGAAGAAUGUAGUUGUAUUUUCAUUUUCCUAAAAUACCCUUAUUCAAUACAAGUUGUUGUUGCUAUAAACCUACCUCAUUUAAUGAGAGUUGAUUCUUUUUUUACCAUCAAUUCAAGUUCCCAUAAAGUUGUACUCUAUUUAAUGUGAGGGUAUUUUAGGAAAAUAGCAAUCUAAAUUUACUUUUCCAACAAAGUUAACUACUUUUUCUUAAACUGUGUGAAAAAAGAAACAUGACUAUCAAAGUGGGACGGAGGGAGUAGUUAAUUUUAUUAGAAAAGUAAAUUUAGAUUGCUAUUUUCCUAAAAUACCCUCACAUUAAAUAUGGUACAAUUUUAUGGGAACUUGAAUUGAUGGUAAAAAAAGAAUCAACUCUCAUUAAAUAGGGUAGGUUUAUAGUAACAACUACUUACAUUGAAUAAGGGUAUUUUAGAAAAAUUAAAAUGCAACUACAUUCUUCAAUUGGAAAGUGGACUACAAUUUGGGACAGAUGAAAAAGGAAUACAGGACUGUGGGGCGGAGGGAGUAGUAAAGUGGGGCUAUACCCCCAGCGUAACUCCAAUGUUUUAAGUUAACUAUUAAGGUAGAAUGUAAGAAGCUCUAGAGUGAGUAAUAGUAACUUGUCACAUGUGGCAGUCUGAAUAUAAUGUGACAAGAUUAAUAGGAUAAAAACUGAAUAUAAAAGCUUCUGGCAGUCUGAAUAUAAUGUUAGAUUGGAGUGUUUUAUUUUAUGUUUAUUGUCUUCAUAAUUCAAAUUUAAGUAAAAUCACAAAUUUUUCCUGUUUAACUGCUGCAUUUAUUUAUCAUGGUAACAAUAAAAUAAAUCUAAUAAUUAGAGAGAAGGAAGGGUAUUUUGGACGUAAUAAAAAAUUAAGACCACAUCCAACUUUCAUGAUCUACCUAGACCCACCGUACCCGCCCUACUUUUAUAUACUUGGGAUUCUCGGUGACAUGUUUUCUAUGCCAACCCAAUGCCACCUAUAAUAUUGUGCCAAGUGUCCUGUUAUUAUUUACACUUGUGUUAAACCAAACCAAGUUGAAUUAUUAAAAAUUAAACUGUAAAUAAUAAUGGGACACUUGGCGCAAUAUUAUAGGUGGCAUUGGGUUGACAUAGAAAAUAUGUCACCGAGGAUCCCAAGUGACUUUUAUAAGGAGUAUAAAUAGAUAUAUAUACUCAUUGGGCUAAUAACUUCUUCUUGUGCUUGGUCAAACUGAAACUCCAGUUUAACGUUAGUGCAAUUAACAAAACCCAACUUAGGCUCAUUUCAUCUUGAGUUUGGUCAAAAUCAAAUUCCAAAAGGACAUACUACUAACAUCUAUUGUCAUGCCAAAUGUUAUCACUUUAACCAUGUUACACAAACUUAUGUAUGCGCAGGAUCCAAGUCAAGCACCCAAGGCAAUUUGCGCCUAUAUAAUAUUCCAAGAGGAGAUAUCCUGUUGGCCCCAGAUGUAUAUAAUGGCCUUGGGGUCAGGGCAGGUUGGGUGAAAUUCUCAAUCUCUGCAGCUGCAAAUGCCUUGAGAAAGUUCUGGCUCUAAUUGUGCUGGAUACCGAAUUUGGCACCCCAAGAACAGUCCUCACAAGCUUAGCAUUCAAUCAGAGAGGAGAAGGAAAUCGCAACAGAAAGAUCAAAUUCAUGACAGUGGAAGUGAAACCACGAAAUGCUUUUGGUGAUGCAAGAAAAUGCCACCUAAAGUUUGUAUGACCUAAAUCCAAAACUUUCCAUACCCCAUACAAAAUGACAACUAAAACUUUUGGAUCCCUUUUUGUUCUUUUAUUCAGUCAGAACAUGUUUCUCUUGACAGAAUUCUUUCACAUAAACUGGGACUUAUCAUCCAAGCACAAGCAGUAGUAAACAACCUUACAAAUAUAGACUCUUGCCACUCAGUUCAAAAUUUCCCCUCCGAAAAUAGCUCGCUUUUCCCAUCAAAUUCAGUCGAUUUACAAGUAAGAGUAUAAGCAAAUUCCUGGUGGUUCAGAUUCAGUAUUUGGAACUUCACCAAUCCGAAAGAAUCUUUAGCAAUAACCAAGGCAUUAACCAGUUAACCAAAAUAUCCCUAAGCUGAUUAACAAAUUCAUGCAAGCAAUAGCCACAUCUAAACAUUCCUUUCUCCCCUGAAUCAAAGUAGAUUCGAAUGAGCUAAAGAAGCCCUUAAAAUACACUCUUUUCCACCUAAAUCCUCUAUGCCAAUUGGCCAUAGCAGGUCAGCUUGACAGUACAGGGGAUACAACAGUAUUCAUGGUUCAAUAUUUUCUCACUCAUCAUGUCACUUGCAAAUAUCUAUACCAAAAGUCUGUCUAUAAGGCCAACUACAACAGGAAAUUUGUUUUAGAGGUACACCAGAGAGCAGUAAAGCAAGUCAUAUGUAAUAAACAAUCCUAUCAACCAUGGUAAGACUAGAACUAUGAAAAUCUAUUUCAAGAAAGGGAGCACAAAGGCCUUCAAAUUGGCAAAUGACACUUAAAACAGGCCUAAACACUGAGGAUGAGAUACUGCAAACAUAUGCAGACGUUGAAAAGAAUCGGUCAGCUGUCCAGCUCUGUUCCAAAUUUUCCCUCUUCUUGCAGAUAUAUCCACAGUUAGUCUCACUGAACAUGCUUAGAGCUUCAAAUUUUUAGGACAAUCAGGAUAUAGAUCAUGCAAUAGAGACACGAUGGAUGAAAGUAUUCCCAUGACAUUGUAUAAUAAACUGUGCUGAUAUUCUAGAAUAUUACAACAUGUACUUCCGUCCGAAAUCUGCGCAAGUACUUGGAUGAAACAUCUGAGAAAGAAAUAUCACAGUUGGGGGCUUAUUUGGCUAAUCCUCAAACGAAUUAAGUCAACUAGGACACACCUUUGUUCAAAGGCAUAUCAUCAGGAAAAGAAUAUCACAGCAUUUCAGAGCAUUCUAUUAUCUCCAUGCUGCAACCUCUUAUAAUCUCUCAGCAGCUUCUUCCUUGCUGAAAUUGACAUUGUAAACCAUAUGGGAGAUGAGUGAUGCGGUUGGCUUGGGCCUAGGAUUUGGUUGAGGAAGAGGACUUGGGGACAGUUGAGGUAGCGAAGUUUCUAAGUAGAUUCAUGCUUCAGUAUGGAAAUUCUAUGAGCUCUCAAAUGAAAAUGUUGCAUGUUAGAAUGAAUAUUGGAAGAUUCGGAAAAGUUAAAGCAUGGCUUAGAUGGCAAUUUUAAUUUCAAGAAGACUACAGAUCCACAUUAGAUAAGAUUGAUUAUACCCCAAAUCAGAUACUUGAGAAGAGAUGGAGUCGAAAAUCUAAAUAAAUGCCAGUCAGUUAAAAUUCCUGCUAAAGCAUACUACCUAAAACUGAUAAAUGAAAGGAAGUACAAUACAAAACGCUUGCUUGACAACAAUUCUUAGCAGAUGCUACAUAUUUAAUUGUUCAAUAAAAGCCUGGUAGCACUGUAGUUUCUUUGAUCUCUUCAGAGGUGUAGAUGCUACACUACUGAGCUUAUUCACAAAACCAUUCAACAGUAGAAAGUUCUCUGUCUCUCAGUGACAAAGUUGAGUUACAUUGUGCAGUAACUAGUGAAACUGUGUGACAGGUUGGCUAUCCAAGGCCUCUCUAGCUUUAAGUAAAUCUGAACAUUAUCACUUUGCUAAACUUCAACUCGAUCAGCAAAUGACCUGUUCCCACGAUCACUAUAUGAAGAACCAUUUGAUUCCAGCAAUUCCGACAUACAUCUCCAGGUCUGUGAUGAAGAAGAUUGGCCCAAUCUUCAUCUUAAGUGCAGCUCACAUCCAACUGGAAAAGUGCAUCAGUUAGGCAAUAAUCAUCUGCAUGAGCCCAUAACCCUUCAGCCACUAUAGACAAUGUUAACCGCUUGUACCAUUUCAUACCGCAAUCUGCAUCAGUUCAAGUGGAUAAUUUAUCACUAAAUGCGGACCAAGGAAUAUUGUCCCGGAACAUACCAUGCUUGGAUUUUUUUUCUUCAGAAUGCUUCAUUCUCAGAUCUGCGUUCACCAAAUCAAAUAGAACCUGGUACUCCUCCUGAGACCAGCAUCCUCUCUUCAAAUUUUUAACUCUUAUUCAGCGUUAAGCAUCCUUCACGUGAAUCCCAUGUUUGCCAAGUUCAUCAGCCAAAUGCUUCCAUUGGUUCCCAUGUUUCUCCUGGAACUCAUGGACCGGUUUGAUCUCUUCUUCAGUCCAUUUAUGUUUUUCAUCCCUUCAAAACAAAACUUGAGCAUGAUGUUAGAUGGCACUUUGAGGCCGAUUGCUAAGCAAGUUCCUAUUUUCUUCCAGCAAUUCCUGACUUCAGGGUACAACAUGCAGUUCAAGGCCAUUUUCAAACCUUCUUCACCUAAGCAAUGUGCCUCUAUGCAUUCAAGGACAGCUUCUUUCACAACCUCAUCUUCUACUUUUGAAAACCGGUUGCCCACACUAGCUAUCAUCAGAUGAAGGGGCUGAAAAGCUUACUCUUCUCUUACUAUUCUUUGGUUAGGGUCUUCCGAACCAUUAUCCACCAAUUUGGCACUUGUUUUCUUCCCUUUACUCCAGUUUUUCAAAUCUGCAACCACUUCCUCAUUCACAGUUGCAUUAGCAUACCCUUCUGGUUGCACUUCAGCCAGACUCCCCUGCUCAAAGCACUCGAAACAUCGUUUUGCUUUCUCUCGUGUCUCUUCCUCUUCAUCUUUUCUCGCUUCUGAACACUGUCCAAUUCAGAGUCUUCGGCAAAUGCUUCAAGAGUAACCCUUUCUCCACUUUGAUUCUUGUUCUCCUGCACUUCAUUUUCUGCCAAAUAAGUUUCAUCUUGUUGUGAAGCAGUCAUAUCCACCUCGAGUUUUUGCUUCUUUUUCUUCUUCUUUUUAUCAACCAUUUCAGCAACAUCCCCAUUCGGAACCUGCACUAAUUCUUCCACGCCCUCCCCAUUUUCAUCCUGCCACCCUUUGCAUCCUCAAAAUCUUUCUCUCGAACAUGAUAACCAGAGCCUACACUGUUAGUCUUCUUUCUCUUUCUCUUCUUCUUUUCAACCAAUUCCACAACAUUCCCAUCAUGCUUCCUUCCCUCAUCAAUAUCAAACUGUUUCCCACCGUCAUUUCCUUUCUCCACCCCCUUGUAAACCAUCACCAUUAUCUUCACCUUCAUUGUGUUUGUGCUUCUUUUUCUUCUUCUCCUUCUUCUCCUCGAUGUACCCUCUUUCGAUAGCACUUUGACCACCCGCAAUCACCUCAUUAUAGCCACCAAAUUCGUUUUCUAGAAUUGCUAUACCACUACCCUCGUUCUUCAUAUCUUUCUUAGGCUCUUUACUACCAUCUAAUUCACCUAAUUUCUGCUUCUUCGGCACAAUAAUCCCUCUUACCAUAAUCCUUCUUUUUUUUCUUUUUUAGUUGCUUCUGCCAAGAAAGUAUCAAACAAAUGAAUCAAGAAUCCCAAAUUUUCUACGUUUCCCUUUACAGAUAAACAAAUAUAGCAGACUAAUUCGUCAGCUGAAAAAGCAGGUAAAACCUUAAUCAUCAUUCAACAAAAGAAAUGAAAUCAUUUUGAACAAGUAUUCGUUCUUGGAAGAAAAUUUUGAAAUGUCCCUCCCAUGACUAGCAUUACAUCAAGGGGAUUAACGGCAGCUACAUGGUUGUGGCUACACGGCUAUCAAUAGGUUUGGAGAUCGAGAUUUUGGUCACUAACACAACAAAACAACUAGAAUCUGAAGUUGAUAUAUCAUCACGCAAUUCUGACAAAAUUUAUUAACGUGUAAAGGCCUGCAUGAAUAGUAACUUAAUAUUUAUAUCUCUGUUACAAAAUUAGAAAUAAUUUUUUGUAAUAGAUUAUAUUGUGUUUACGAAUUGUUAAACCAUUUAGAAACAGUUAUAUUGACAAUUGCUUUUCUCCAUCUACCAUUCUUAGGGGCUUGCGACAAGGUCUCAAGAUUUCUUGGGAUUUUUGACUUAAAAAAAAACUAGAAAACUGAAACUAAUUCAUGGCUUAUCAUGUAAGUAACUAAGGAUGCCAGUUUGAAGUUUGUUCAACGAAUUGAUAAACCCUUUGACUAGAAAUAUAUAAAUGUUCCAAAUCAUCCUGUUCAUGAGAAGUCUCUUUUAAUGCAUAUACGGCAAAUGCUAUUGAGGUUAAGAGCUAUUACUAUUAGUAUAUCUAAAUUAUACUUAACCAAAAUUAUCGUGUGUAUGUACGUAUUCACAUUUAUUGUAUAUUAUUGUAAAAGAUUAGGGUUAUUAUCACUGUACUCUCUUAAAUUAUAUCACUACUAUUAAUUUAUUCCAUAACGUUAUCUUUAGUUACUUUACCCUCCAUAGGUAAUUCAAUUCAGCGUAUUAACAAAGUUUGGAUAAAAUUACCCUUUUAUUUUACAGCAUUACUACAUUGUCAUUAUCACUUUAGCCCUUUAAAUUAUAGUGAUACAAUUGUUUUACUCUUUAACAUUAUUUUUUAAGCGUUUUACCUCAUUGUUAACCUAACUAGUAUGUUCAAAAAAAUUCUAAUGGUUAUUUACCUUUUUUUAUAUAUAAUUAAAAGUUAAAAAGCUAGAAUGAUUAUUCUUCCGUUUUUUUCACCCUAAGAGUUCCAAAAACAUAAAAAUAAAAGAAUUUUCUCAAAUUUUUUUCUUCACACUUAUUGAUACUAGGAAAAGAAAAUGAAAUAGGAGAAAAUGAGAUAGAAAAUUAAAUUUUUGCAAAAAAAGAAAAUAGGGAAGAAUCUAAUAUUAUCGUAUUACUUUAACAUCAUCUGGAUUAAAAUAAUUUUAAACUAAUAAAAAUAUUGAAUUUUUUCUUAUAUGUAUUUUUUAUUAAAAAAAAAAGAAUUGAUCUCUCUCUUCCCCCCCCCCCCCCACCACCACAAAAAAAAUUAUAUCGUUGUAAGCCUGUACCUACUAGACCAGCUACUCAGAAUGUCCCUAUGUGAAUACGUACUACAUUAACAUUAGUUUCUGGACAAAUUAAUAAUGUUCUUGGGCCAUUCUUUCAUCUUUUAUCUCCAAUUGAUGUCAAGUUGGAUGCUUAAUACUUGAGGAAUCAUGGAUGCCAAUACUAAAAAUGCUUCGAUACCUCCUGAUCCUGCAACAAUUUAACAAUGUAGCAUACAACAAGAUUGGAAGAAGUAGAUCAGACUUAUGGCAUUGAAAUUGAAACCUUCAAACACUUUCUGAUAUACUCUGAAGUCAAUCAAAAGAUGCACUGGGACUUACAAUAGUAGCCUUUCUAAGUAGCCAUUCUCAACCUUACAACAGUAUUCCCUCAUCAUCCAGAAAAAGGAAGCUGAACUGGAUAGGGAGAGUUUAUUGCAGGGAACCACUCUAUAGAUUGAUAAAAAGUGACAAAAUUUCUGUGCUAAGCAGAAUUCAUUCACGAGCUACUACAAUAACCUGUUUUCCAACGUUGCGACCGCUAAAGAGACCUGCAAGGGCUGCAGGGACACUUUCAAGUCCUUCAGCGAUAUCUUCCACAUAUGUUAUCUUUUUCUCGCGGAUAUGAGGCAACACAAGAUCCAAAAAUUUUGUGUAGUGGGGAUAGUAUUCAGCGGCAGAAUAUCCUCGCAUGUUGAUUCGCUUGUGAAUGAGCCACAUCAAGUUCUUUACUCCUUCAGGUUCAUCAAGAUUGUACUGUGAGAUCAUUCCACAAACAGCAAUUCGACCGAACAUGUUCAUAUUUAGGAGGACAGCAUCCAGCAUCUUUCCCCCAACAUUUUCAAAGUAGAUAUCGAUUCCUUCAGGGAAAUGCCUGGUUUGAAGCAAAUGUUGAUGAUUAAUGACCGAUAUUGCAUUCAAUUCACUUUAGCCAAUGGACCAAAUACUAGCCACAGAAAUUUUGAAUGCAUGAAUCUUUUGCAAGCAGAACCUGGUUGAAUCAAAUUCUUAAGGUUGGAUUCUGUACGUUAUCUGGAUUUCAUACAUUUUAUGACAUUGAAACAGAAAAUUAGAAUGAGAAGAAUAUGUAAUCAUACAUAUGCUCGAGUAAAGGAAAGAGGGAUUGUAUAGCAAAUCAAGUUCAAACAUUUAUCUGAAAAUCAGCUAGUCUCUGCUUUUCUUAUUCUUUCCUGCUUUUGUUGAUAGCAGAUCUUCAAAAGCUUGCUAACAAUAUUGGCUUGAGAAUACUUGUAUAGAAAGCCUAAUUAAAGAGUCACAGAUUAUGUUAAAAAAUUUUUGAGUCAUGUAACUAUAGUCUAGUGAAUCAUCUGUUUGUAGUUUCUGAGGAAAACUUAGACAUCAAGUGAUUAUUCCAAGGAAAAGAUAGAAUAGAAAAAAGUAGAUUACUGACCUUUUUAAAGCAGCAUCCAAGUCAUGUUCUUCCUUGUAAUUGAAUGCGCCAUCAAAACCAAACUUGUUCUUCAAAAGAUCAACCUUGUCAAAUAAUUAAUAGAAGCACAUGAAAGUUAGAAAUGGACCAUGGCUAAAAUCAAGUGAGGUUGAAGUUUUCACAAAUUUGUUUUCUAUGUUUGUUUUGCAGGGUGAAAAGUGAAAGAGGGGGAGAAUGGAGUAGGAAAACAAGAUUAAGUUCAAACAUUUACCAGGUAACACAGCAAAGGGACUGCAAAUGGUGGCAGACCUCAGUAGCAUACCAAAUCAAAUAAUCGGAAUGGUUAAAAAAGCCAAAUCACACUGGCUAGAUUUUCCAAAUUCUCAUAAUCAAACUUUUAGUUGAACUUGAUUUCAGAAGAUCCAGGCUUUGAUCACAAAGUUAAAGGAGAAACUACCAAACUGAGACUACUGACGGCCUGUAGUUAAGAGUAGAAGUAGCAGGCUGCAAAUUCAACUCGGUAUGAGGUUAUAGAAGUUGAUAAUUGUGCCAAACAUUUAACAGAAAUUCUUAAAAACAGUUGAUAUUUCAUAGUAGCUACAUCCAUGCUAAUCAUUCAGACAUAAUGUUUGCCUGAGAUCUGAGGCUAAAGUUCAUCAAUAUUUCCUGUACAACUUGGAAGGAGCAAAGCAUAGGGGGUGGUCAAUUACCUUUUCUUUACUUCCAGCACUUCCAACUACAUAGCAGCCUGUCAGCUUUGCAAAUUGUCCAACGAGCUGGCCAACUGCACCAGAUGCUGCUGAGACAAAUACUUUCUCUCCUUUCUUGGGAUUACAGACCUCAUAAAAUCCACCAUAGGCAGUAAUGCCAGCCAAACCUAAACAAAGUGAAGCUUUUCUACUUUCAAAGUGAAAUGUUGCAGAAAGUAACAGCGGCAAUUAUGUCGAUGAAGUUUAUCUCUCAAUAACAUAGAUGAAUAGGAUGGGGACUGAAACAACUUUAAGACUAGACUAAAUUUCUGAUAUAAAGCAAAAAUUGUGCAGCCAAUAGACUGAAAGUCAUAUCAUGAUUUUUGAGUGUCAUGUAAAGCAGUGUAAGGCUGAUCAUUAGAUUCAUUAGCGCAUAGGUGAAAAUUAUCAAACAACUCACAAAUUAAUGUUCCAUACAGAUACAUGAAAUUCCUAGAAAUACUAGAUUGUGGAUUUCUUGCUAUCAGAGUAUACUAUAGUUUCAAAAAUCAGAGCAUUAAAUUUUUGCGCUGCAAAUUCACUUGUUAACAAAUAUAGUAGUUAUCAAUCAAGCAUCGAACUUACCAAGAAUUCCAGUAUAGUAGCUAAGAGGGACAUCUGUGUGCUCGAUCUUGAAAAGCAAAUCAGUUUCUGUAAUGAGACUGUAUUCCUCCCAUCCAGCCAGUCCCCAUACCAAGUCAUCCUUCUUGAACUUUGGAUGGCUUGAAUCCACUACUUUAGCUACCACAAACCCGUAAAUAGGCUGCAGUUACCCCAUUACAAAUAGUCAAGCGUCAAAAUUUCAAAUCUUGAACUCUACAACUACCAACAAUCACAAUAAAUGACAACUUGCACCCGUCAGUACUUUCGUUUAAUUCUUUUGAAACUACUCAAAACUCUAAAUCUUUUCAAGGAAGUUUUUUGGUGACUUAUCUUCCUCUCUAGUAGCAGAGUAAGUUGUUUUUCCAACUAAAUUUUUGACAUAUAAAAGGAUCUCAAUCUUUCUCAAUCUCUGUAAAGAAAGCAAGCAGAGAAAAGGGCAUCCAUAAGCUAAAAUCUUUUAAGUUUGAACAUGUUCCGGUUGAUUACUAGCCGGAUCAUGUAACUGACUAACAUCUCAAGUAGACAAAAAUGCCAGCACCUUGCUUUGGACUAACAGCAUAUAAAAUCCGAUUCAGAGAAUUAAAACAAGAGAUUAAAGCACAAACAAGAAAAAUAAUGUAUCUGCAAGAAAUCUGAGGAUGUGAUCACAUACAGAGGCAGGCUUGUAAGCGGGAAACGGGGUUCUACGAUUGGGCGCCGGCUUUCGCAUUAGACCUCUCAUGAAAGGAUCACAUGACAAGUAGAGGUUCUUAACCAAAACCCCACUUGAGUUUUCUGGCACUUUCAAGCUUAUGGUAUUUUCUGUGCUGAUGAUCACAUCUGAUUCUUUCGGGAAGCCAGUAACAUAGUCUUUCAACAGCACUUGCUUGUUCUUCACUACCUCAACCUCUGCUGCCAUUGCUGAAAUAUCAAUCUAUUUGCAGCAGAAUGUGUGUUGUGUGUGCUUGUGGACGCUGUAUAUACUUUAGAGCAGUGAACUCUUUUCAGGUUUGUUUGCUGGGAUUUUGGAGCAAAACUCUUCUGUUUUUAUAGAGGGAAAUGUCUAAGCUUUUGAUGUAGGUAAUGACAUCAGUAGCUGGAUAUAGAAAGUUAAAAAUAUGCAAGAUAAAAGAAACAAAAUGACUUCUACUUAUUUCUUUUGAAAGAUGAAGAAAAAGAGGGUAUUGGUCAAGGCUAAUUAUUAACUAAAGCUUGUACAAGAUUGACUAAUCCUCAAUCUAAAAAUAAAUAAAUAAAACAGAAAAGAGACAUUAAACUCUCUCCAAUUUUGAUCAUUGAUAUCAUUUCAUCCCAUGGUAGAACUGUGUUUGGGGUCUCAAUAAUGCAUAGUUGAUAUCAGGAUCAUGUCAAUCCUUAUGGCUCUCAUGGAAGUAGCUGUUCUCUUGGAUGAACCUGUUUUUUGGACAAUUGUAGAUACCAUUUUUAGGAAACUAAUUUUUAUUUUGCAAAAUAUAACUAAUUUUUAGGAAACUAAUGAGAAAGUUCACUAAAAAGAAUGGCCCUCAAACUAUUACAAAAUUUAAUUUUUGGCUCCUCAACUAUUAACCGGCAAGUUUUACCCCUUUAACCAAUUAAAACAUAAUAGUAUAAUAUUAAUCCUUUUGUCAACUUUAAUCGUUAUGUCUAAUCGCACUACAUGAUUCUUUUAAGAUUUUAAAUUGGAACUUGGAGGAAAGCUGCAUCAUAGCUUAAGUUCACCAUUUUGGGGGAAGGCUUCCUCAUAGCUUACGUCACCAAAUUCGUUUUCUAAAAUUCAUAUAUCACUAACCUCCCCCUUUUUACUUUCCCCACCAUUUUUAAUUCACCUGCUUUCUGUUUCUAGUUUCUACAGCACAAUAAUUCUUGUUUCGCCUUUUUUUUUUUUUUCUUUUUUGGGCAAGCAAAUUUCCAACAAAUAAAUCAAGGACAAUAAAAUUUUUACAUUUCCCUUCAUAUAUAAACAAAUACAAUAGAUUAUUUAUAGCAAUUAAAAUUGAAAUUUUAAAAAUUAGAAGUUUGGAGGUUCAAUUCUCAUCCACCGUUCCUGCUUCUUAAUUUUCAUCCACCGUUCCUGCUUCUUAAUUCUCAUCCCUCUCUUGCUGGAUAGAAUUGAAAGACAGGAGAAGCUACAAAGGUCAAAUUAAGCAUACCUACUUUGAUGUUUUAGACUACAACUAAUUCUCUUGCUGGAUACAUAUUCAUCUAACGGUAGAAUUGAAAGAACGGUAGAAUUGAAAGAACGGUAGAAGCUACAAAGGUCAAAUUAAGCAUACCUACUUUGAUGUUUUAGACUACAACUAAUUUUCAUGUUGCAAAUUACAAGGUUUCGGCCUCCUGCUUGAGAGCCCAAAAUCUCAUUUUGGCCUAUAUGUUGGAGCAAAUUUUUCUUCCUUUUUCUUGUCAAAAGAUAAAGUAUUCCUUUAUGCGAAAAUGAAUAAUUUUGAAACCAAGGGGCAGUAAAAAUAAAAGACUGCUUCAAGGGCCUUGGAUGGAACCAAACAUGAUUUGGCCUUGAGAGCCUAAUGCCCUUAAAGAUUGAAUAGUUUCCAAUUUUGGAGUAAAUAUGCCCCCAUCAACCCAGUGGCUUCCCAUAUUAAAGCACAUCCCAUCUUUUCAACUUCUAUUCAAAAGGAACGGAAAAUACUACUACUUUUAGAAGUCUGUUUUCCAUAGCCUAAUCGUCAUACAUUCACAACAAAACCCCUUUUAGCCUGUAAGCAGAGAAAUGCUUUUCACUUCAACUUGUAGCAUCACCCACGGAAGGUAGCAUUGUUUGCAUUAACAUCACAAGCAAAAGUAAAUCAUGAAUGAACAUAAACAGGAAAUAAAGCUCCCGGCUGCAAGUAUUUAGUUAAAUCUAGAACAUUAAAAGCAUCAAUUAUCCUGAGCUGUAAUCCACUGUCAAGUAUCACAAUAGGAUCACGUCACAAAAUUUGGCUCAACAAAGAACUUUUCCCAAGCUAAUGGAAAGUAAAAUGCCACUCCUAAUAGAGUUUAUGAAUAUCUGCUAUCCCAAAAGCUCCAAGCCAUCUCCUUGAGCCUAGGCCACAAGGGUGCUGGCAGUAGUAGAUUCACUGCAAAUGAAGAGUUUUAUCAGCAUCUGCUCAAAAAGAUAAACUGAAAGCAAGUUGCAUUAACGUAAUGACCAAGCAUAGUUGUCAAAAGCAGGGCCAUUGCCAAAAGAUAUUCAUCACUAUUCAGACUGUUGUCAAGUAUAGCAUGCUCCACUAAAACCAAAAGCAUCACACACUUGUUUAAUUCUCCAAAAUAUGUUUUGAAAACAACUUCCAAACGUACAAAUGGAUUGUGGAUGCAAUGAAAAACCAUUGCAGAAUAGUGUGGAUGCAAUGAAAAACAAUUGCAGAAUCGCAGGACAGCCACAUGUACUACCGGACAACACAGGUAAGCAAGGAACCUCAAACAACUCCAUAAACCAAUUCUAUUCAAAAUUACCGGACAACACACGAGGAAGGAACCUCAAUCAGCUCCACAAACCAAUUCUUUCCAAACCAACAAGAGCUCCAAUGCUGACUUUCUGACUAUCUUGUGGACAGUUCCAACGGUACAACGUGAAGAUUGCCUUGACAGGCAAAAAAAUGGGGAACCAUUUCAUACAAGCGGAAGAGAUUAUGAUUAAGAAUUUAAAGAUGAUUGAGGGUGGCAAAGAGUGUGGAAAUGGAGCUCUCCAAAGUGUGGAAAGCUCUCCAAAGUGUGCAUCAUGGAGGCUGGAGGAGGAAACUUCAUACAGAUCAGAUUUUUAUUUUGGCAAGCAUGAAUGACACUUUAUAUGAUUUUCAAAGGAAAAAUUGUUGCCCAGUAGUUUGCUAAGGAUGCAGGACAAAACCAACACUGAAAACCUAUCUCCCAUUUCCUCCGCCAGAUCACCAAAGAGGUACUUGAAGAAGCACAGGAAAACCCCAACAGUUAAAACAGCCACAAGUCCUAACCAGCAAACUGGCAUCUCAGUAGGUAGUAAUGAAAACACGACGCCCAACGAGCAAACUGGCAUCUUGGCAUCUCAAUACAAAUGAAAACAAACACAUUGCGACAGAGAACAUGUAAUUAUCAGCUAAACAAACACAUUAAACAGACGAUAAAAAAAAAUCAACAGGGAGUAAAAGGGGGGUUGGGGGGAGGGGGGGAAUGAGAGGGCAGGCAUACUAUUUCCAGUUGGGAGGGAGCUUCUUGGUCUUCUUGUAGUAACGAGCGAGGCGGUGUAUCCUGCUCUCCACCAGAAUCAAUCUGAACUUGGAAUCCUUGUCCUUCCUGUUCCUCUCCAAAUGCUUCCUGAUUGCGACUGCCUUCUUGAUCAGAUGGUACAGAUCCUCUGGAAUCUCGGGUGCAAGCCCUACCCACCGAACCAAGAAAAAAAACAACAAUAUUGUUAUAAAAAAAAUCAAACAAAGAAAUGCUAAUGCAAUAAGGAAAAUGAUUUUUUUUGAAAUAUACCGUGAGCCUUGAGGAUACGCAAGAUUUUGCUGCCAGUGACACUCUUGACCUGCGCUAUACCAUGAGAGUCCCGAAGAAUCACACCAAUCUGAGACGGUGUCAUUCCCCUCUUUGCAAACUUGCAGAUGUUAUCUUCAACCUAUCAAUUUUCCAGAAAAAAAAGUCCCCAAAAAAAAAGAACAAUAAGAACUUGUAAACCUAGAAAAUUAGCAACACAACGAAAUUCUACUACUAACAUCCUGGGACGAGAUCUUCAGCCAGCUUGGCGGCGUUCUCUUGUAAGGAAGAGCCGAUGCAGAAAUACCCUUACUGGAUUUUCCAACCACCGGAAAAUUUAAAAACAAAAAAAAGAGGAAAAAGUCAGUGUCCUUUGCUUUACAAACGAAUUCAGCAAAAAAGAGCAUGAGUAAGAAAUUGCAUUUGUUUGUUUGUUUGUUUGUUUGUUUGUUUGAGAAGAGGGAGAUGAAGCAGACCCGCGACUGUGCAUACGACCCAUGCUGAUGGAGUGCGGCGGCGGCUGCGGCGGUGGUAGGGGAGGUGCUCAACCACGAACGGCGUUUACCUAAUACGAAUACGACUGGCCACAAGCCCGAUGCUGGAUAUGUUGCUAGCUACCAGUACUUACUAGGGUUUAAAACAUACUAUAUAGAUUGGGGUGUCAAUUGGGCCUCAGUUCAAAAAAUAAAUAAAGGUUUUGGAUUUUUAGGUUCGAGUCUAGUUUAGAAAUUUUUUUUUUUUUUUUUUAAAGAAGUUUAGAAAGUUCAAGCUCGGGUCAUCAUUUAAUGUUAUAGUAUGUAUAAUUAUUUAUUAUAUACAUCAUUUAAUAUGCAAUUAUAUAAUUUCUAUCGUUUCAGAAAAAAAAAUUUAAUAUGCAAUUAUAUAUAUGCUAGUGUUGAGGGCAUCUAGGGAACAAUUAAAAUGAAUUAAUUUUGUAUAAGUAUUAUUUGUUACAUACACAAAAAAAAAAAUUAUAUAUAACUUUCAUGAAAGAACUUUGGGGUACGUCAUUAUAGUAAUUUUUUGAUAUUUAAAAUGAUUAUGAGUAAUUGUAUUGACGAGAUGUGAUUAGGUGACUAAGGUAAAAAUCUAGUUUUAUAAGGGUGAAAUUGGAUGUUUCAAAGAUGACAAAAAGUGUUUACACCAAUUCUAAUUGCUUUGACAUUAUAUAUUGUGCAUAUUGCACAGAUAUUAUGCAUAUAACUUUACAUGUGAAUGGGUGGGGACUUAACUAGAUUUGAGUCUAGUGAGAUCCAAAUUCGCUCAUAUUUAAUUUGGACCUAUUAUUUAGACUUAAACUCUACCGAAUUCUGUUAAACAUAACACUUAUUGAGCUUUUUUUUCUUUCUUAUCAAAUGGUCCGAACUAGUCUGACCCUAUUGACAACCCUACUUCUAAGUUUCAUCUUUUAAUUUGUAUAAAAUUGUGAAGUUAAUUAGUACCAAUUAAGGAUUUACAUACUUUUUAGAGAAUUGAAUAAAGCUCUUGUAAUUGGCCUAGGAAUCAACAAAAAGGAGUUUUUUUUUUAUCCAUUUAAAACUCACAAGCUAUAAAAAAAUAAAUUCUAAUUUAUUAUAAUACUUCUUUCACCUAAUAAUUACUGCCAAAAGCCAAAAGGUACCCCCCAUAAAAAAAAACUUGCUUUAACCUUCCUCUUACGUAGAUUAUAUUAAAUUUACUACAUGAAUAAGAGACAGCUAUAUUGAAUUUAUAAUUUUCCUCUCAAAUCCAAUGGAGUCACAGUUUUUAUUUAUUCAAAAGCAAAAUCCAUCCUCUCGCGGAUAGUUCAACUGGUUCCAUAAUCUAGUAGUUACCAGCAGCACUCGUAAUCGAUCCCUCUGUGCUGCCUCGCUGUGUAUCCUUGGAACAAAAUUUUACAGAACCUUAAGGGAUUAGUCUGGCCAAAAGACUGGAAUACCCCAAAGUAAAAAAAAAACAAAAAACAAAAUCCAUGUCGCAAUCUUUGUCACCUCCUGCAAAGCCACUGUGCUGCCUAUUUUUCCUCCACUUCUUAACAGACUCUAUAAUAUAUCUCAUCCUUCUUUUGCUUAAUUUGCUUGGCCCUCUCCUUCAGCCUCUGUGCCUGCCUGUACCUCUUUGGCUAUUUUCUUGUUCUAUCCCCUUGCCUUUCUUCUUCUCUCCUCACUCUCCUCAAUCUUUCUUUUCUCUGCCAACAGUCGGUCCUUAACUUUCUCCAUCUGUGAGCGCAUCGGAUUCGACCAUUUCAGCAUAGUAAUAAGAUCAGGUGGCCUCAGGAAAAGGUAAGGUUUCCCCGUUGACCGAAGCUCCACCAAAGGCCUGCCUCGUACCCUCCAAUGCCUGCAUAUAGAAAGCAAGUUCCCUGUCGUUUGUAGCGGUCUUUGAAGGUUCAGUCAACUUCAAAUCUUCUUCUUCUUCUUCUGAAUCUGGUUCUGAAUCAACGACUUCAUUGUCAUGAUCCAUUUUUGUAGCCUAGUCUUACUGGUCGUAACUAGACAGCCGCCCAUAGGUUGCUGGUGAAGCUGAGUGGAUAUGAUUGUAACUUUUGUCAGCAAACAGUCGCCAUAGGUGAAGCCAUGUUGUAACAUAAUAAUAACUUUAACAUUAGUUUCUGAACCUAUUAACAAAUUAUGUUCUUGGGGCCAUUCUUUCUCUUUCGUAUUUCAGAAAGUUUGUGGAUGCGAAUAUCAAACAAUUCAACAAUGUAGCAGAUGAUUAAAUUCCAAGGGAGUAAAUCAAACAUAUGACUCUGAAUUUCAAACCCGAAAACUUUUGAACUAUUUAUAGGUUAAACAAAAGAUACACUCGACUUCAAUGAUAAGACCUGCUAAGUUUCCAUUCUGAACCUGAUCACCACUGAAGCCCCUCAUCAUUCGUAGAAAGGAGGAAGCUUUACUUGAUAGGUUAGUUUAUAGCAGAAAACCACCACACAAAUUGACAGAAGUGUUGUGCAGAAUU
RNAcentral lists this long non-coding RNA (77691 nucleotides) under Coffea arabica (coffee). RNAcentral describes it as "long non-coding RNA (CARA_LNC002372)". Lineage: Eukaryota; Viridiplantae; Streptophyta; Magnoliopsida; Gentianales; Rubiaceae. The record is from RNAcentral.